Molecule: long non-coding RNA, 88304 nt
Filed under: Solanum tuberosum (potato)
Lineage: Eukaryota; Viridiplantae; Streptophyta; Magnoliopsida; Solanales; Solanaceae
Description: long non-coding RNA (STUB_LNC002773)
Source: RNAcentral
AUAGAAAAAGUAGAAUUCCUUGGAAUGCUACUUUUUAUCUGGAGCAUUGUGUACUGCAAGUUGCCAAUUUGGUAUUGUGGUGGUUUCAAGGUUUUGAUUCAUGCCCCAAAUUGAUAUACGCGUGGGAGUAUGUUAUUCAUUACAAUUUCUUAUUUCUAUCUUAUUUCACAGUGAAAUACCUAAAAAAAAAAUCAUGGUCGGGAAGAGGGGAAAUAAUUACAGCAGCCAAAGCCAUUGAAAUUUUGAUUUUAUACAUUGAAAAAAUCCGUUUUGUUAUUAAUAGACUAGGAAUGGGAAAAUAAUAACAGAAAGAAAGCAGUCAAUUAGUUAUUCGUCAAAUUUUUAUUUAAUCAAUGACCAGAUUUAAACGAGGGUAUAUAACUCGGAGACAUAGAAUAAAAAUUCAUUUAUUUGCAUCAAGCUUUCGAGGGGCUCAUUCAAUGCUUACUAGAACUAUUACUCAAUAGAAAAUAACAGCUUUAGAUUCGGCUCAUUGGGAUAGGGAUAGGAAAAAGAGAGAUUUUCAUUGUUUGUGGUGUUGGGAUGUAUACUAUUAACCAUAAGUUAAGAUAUAAUAUUUAUUAUAGAAUAAAUAUUGCUCAGUUUUAAUAGAUUAUAUAUUCGUUUAUGGUGUCUGUUUACUUAUAUAGUAGAUGAUUUAGUGUGUAGAGUUUUAGCUUAUACACAGAGAAUUAAAUCAUCGGUUCUUAUAAGUAUAAAGUUUUUUGUUCACAAUCUAGGAUGGAAAUUAGCAUGCCAUCGGUACGAUUGUAGCACAAGAUUAUAUGUAAUUUAUCUUGAUUAUGGGAACGAUGUAGUUCCAACUUCUUGUGCUAGUGCAUUUUGUAUGUAUUGAACGGGAUCGAGUAGAGAUAGUUGUUUUAGACUGGCUGACAAAAAUAUAUUUUCUAAAACUAUUAAAUGUACUUAUAUUCUUAAUCUUGAUAUAACUAUUAUGAUCUGUAUAUUUUAAUUAUCGUUUUGAUUUAUUAAAAAUGUGAGAUUCUGAGAUAAGUCAAUAUGCCUGGUAGAUUGGAUGAUAAUAAUAUAUAUUGGUGAAAUAAUAAGUUAGUUGAUGGAAUUCAUGUCUCUCUAUAGAGAUUGAUUGAUAUGCUUUUUUUGAGAAACUUAUAAGUUUUCAUCGUGUCAAACCUUGCAAGUGGAUUUAUGAAUUUGACACAUGAAAUAAGUUAAGUAGUGCUCUAAAGGAAAUUAAUCAUUAAAUUAAAUUCAUCAGUAAUUUAAUUUAUUGAUUAGUAUUUGUAAUCUUAACAUGGGGAAUUACAUAGGUGUUUAAUGGGAAUUUCGAAAUAUAAAUAGAGGAGUGCAAUUACGAAUUUCUAGUGGAAUGAUUUGUAAUUUAUUAUGGUAAGAAUAAAUUCAAAUUAAUUAUUUGAAUUAUUUCCAUAAUAGGAAGCCUCAGUACCUACAAUGCCCAUAUUUAACUAGAACUCAGAAUCCUAUUUCUUAGGGAAAAAAGAGUCAGGCGUGUGUUUUCUUGUUCUUUCAAGAAAGUUGAUUUUCUUCUCCUUAUUGGAUUGGGAAGAAAUCUCUAUAAAUAGAGAUUCUCCUAACCUAGAAAAAAAUCGAUUAGUUUUCUAUUCGAUACUUGCCCAUCCAAUUAUUGAGAGAGUUCGGAUGUGAACUUGGGAUCACUGAAGAAGAUCAUAGUUGUUGUCUAACUUGGGGGAUUCGCUUGAAGGUAUAUCUCUAGCAUAAACGGUUUUGGUUAUCUAUUAUUCAUGUAAGCAACAUGAUUCCUGUAUGCUUCCGCUGUGCAUAUAGUUUACCAACAUGUGGAUCACUAGGAUUAACACAAUAAUUUGCGAAAGGCGAUUGUUAGAUUAAUAUACUAUCCGUACAAAAGACAGUUAUUUCUUAACCGUAAAAUUGAGGGUUUGCAUCAAGAUCACAUUAAUUUAUAAAGGUUAAGCAAUAAAUUAAAGUGAUACAAUAAAUAUAUUUAUCAAUCAUGAUUAGUACAAAGACACAUGUAUAGAAUUAGAUUAAAGUUAAAUUAAUCCAUAACGUUAAUUAGGCUGGCUUACUCAAAUUCAUAGUAGUGUCUUGAAAAUUCUUAGCAGUGAUAUCUCGACUUCUAUAUGAGAUAGUAAUCUCACCAUUUAUAAUUUUAUUGUUUAAUAGAUAAAAUACUAUAUAUGUUAAUACGACGCUGUCUUAAAACAUGGAGUACAUAUUAUUUAUCCUUAUCUCUCACUUAAACUUUGUUCAUUAUAAUUGUCAAAUUAUUAAACUAUUAUUUGAAGCAUUAAGAUAAUUAAACUUUACUUACUAUACUAUAACAAUAAAAUUAGUUAACGGUAACUAUAUAUUAUGUGUGAAUUGUUCAACGUUUCUUGUUAAUACUCUCACUUUCGCUCUCUUCUUCUCUGUUUCUUUUCUUUUCGAUAAAAUAUGGGGACGAUGAGUAUCGAUGAUGAACAACUCAUUGGGUAUCUUAUCAACCAAAGAAAAUAAUGCGACUACUUCUCUAAUUGUUUGACAUAUGUUUCCUCUACAAUUCGCCAGCACACAUAAUUCAUGAAAACAAGUGCACAUCAUCAGUGAUAGAAAUUAGUUACACUCAGAGGAACCAACAUCAUUGACCACUAGACCACACCCUAUCCUUCUAAAUCUGUCUCUUGCUUAUUUAUUGUAAUCGAUUAGAUAAGGAAAUAACUGAUAUCUUAUUCCAUGAAGUAACAAAAUUAUAUGUAUAAAAUAUAGAAACCUCAACAAUUUGGGCGCUAAUUACAUUCUAUCCUGAAAGUUUCUCAAAUUACAAUAAUUUUGGAUUUUUCAGAACUCACGGAUACAUUGCUCCUUCACCCGAUACAUAACAAAUGGUAGAAAUUUUUAGAGAUUAUGUUAUCUUAUAUCGUGUCAAUAUAUAUUACAAGGAAUAUAACUAUAUUCAUUUUUCAACACUCCCCCUCCAAUUGGAACAUAGAUAUUGAUCAUGUCUAACUUGUUGCAAAGAUACUCAACUCGAGUUUCAUUUAAAGCUUUUGUGAGCAAUUCUACCAGUUGCUCUCCCGUCUUCACAUAACCAGUGACAAGUUAUCCUGAAUCUUCUCACGAAUAAAAUGACAUUCAACCUCAAUAUGUUUAGUUUUUUCAUGAUACAUUAGAGCAACUUGAUUAUCACUAAUCACAUCAAAGUUUUGUCGGUGUAUGAUGCUUCAACUCAAUUUCAAUUAAAAGAUGAUGUUUCCAGAUAAUCUCAUACAUAGACUACCACAUAGCUUUGUACUCAGAUUCUGCACCGGAUAGAAAUAUGACAUUUUGCUCCUUAUUCCUUUAUAAUACUAUGUUCCUUCCAAUAAAGACACAAUAGCCAAUAGUAGGUUUUCUAUUAAUUUUGAAUCCAAUCCGGUCAAUAUUUUGCAAAACACUCAACACGAGUAUGAGCGUGGUUCCUAUACAAUAUGCCAAAUUCAUAAGCUCCUUUCUCCUUUUGGUCUAAAAAUACCAUCAACCCAAAUUUAAUUUAAUUGAACUCCUUUACUACUAAUUAGUCAAUUCAUUUAUUUGUUCUAAAAGACAAAUUUUUAUUUUUACAAAUUCUUAAUUUUAGCUCAUCCCAAAAUAUUUAAAUCAUAUUUGAAAUGAAAAAUAAAUUAUUUAUGUUAUCACACUUUUUAGUAACAAAAACUAAAUCAAAUAAAUCAAAUUUAGCUAAUUAAUAUAUUCAUAGACUUCACCAUUUAUCAUAACACUAACUAAAGAAAAUUUUACUUACUAUACUAAAACAAUAAAAGGCAUAUUUUUAGUUAACGGUCACUAACUAAAAAUUAUGUGUGAGUUUCUAAAAAUGGAUUCCAAUCCUAAAAAAACUCGCUUAAUCCAUUAAUUUACACGGUUUGUCUCUCUAUACAUACCAAAGGGCCAGUUGGAUUUUUUUCUUAAAUAUCCCUUUCUUCUUUGUUUGUUUUUGGUAAAAUAUGGGGAUGGAUUUUGAUGAUGAACAACUCAUGAUCUGUCUUCUAAAAUUUGUUAGUGGUAGCUCUGUUCAAUUUCAACUUGUCGACUUGUAUGGCAACAACAAACCCUCUCAGUUAUUCGAUACCACCACCACCACUACUGCUACUGAAUAUCAUGUCUUUACUCAGUUAAAGAAAAAAAAAGGGAAUGGUAAGAACUUCAACAGGGGAAUUGUUGGUGGUGGCGGCUCAUGGAAAGGAGUUGACAAUAGUAGACCAGUUUACGACAAGAAGAAAUCAGUUAUUGGGUUCAAGAAAACUUUCCGUUUUGAGGAAAAAAAUCAUGUCUGGAUUAUGAAAGAAUAUCGUCUUUGUGAUAAAAUACUCAAGGCCUUAACACUACGUGGUCAUACUCGACAUGAAGAGGAAUUUGUUGUAUGUCGCAUUACGAGGAGCAGCGUCAAUUCUUCUAAGGUUAUCAUCCCUUCAGAUCACAAUGUAGAGAAUUUUCUUGAUUCUCUACUAAUUUCUUCAUUACAAUGUCAAGAAUCCUUUGCUCAGAAUCAAUUUCAAGAUUUGGGACAAUCCUUUGCUCAGAAUCAAUUUCAAGAUUUGGGACAAUCCUUUGCUCAGAAUCAAUUUCAAGAUUUGGGACAAUCCUUUGCUCAGAAUCAAUUUCAAGAUUUGGGACAAUCCUUUGCUCAGAAUCAAUUUCAAGAUUUGGGACAAUCCUUUGCUCAAUAUCAGUUUCAAGAUUUGGGACAAUUAAGUACUCCUAAUGUAAUUCCAUCUGAUGAGUCAAGCAGUAUUUUGAAUGGGAACCAAAUUGGUCCAGUUAGUUUAGUGUUGAAAGAAUCAAAAUUGUCUGCUGUAAUAGAAGAGGAAUGCUCUGUUCCUGUGGUUCAUCAACAAACUCCCUCUGUUAAAGAAGUAGAAUGCUCUGUUUAUGACAUUGCUACUUACCACAAACAACUUGAUGCCUAUGCUGCCUCUGUACUCGAAUCAAUAGUUCCUUACAUUCCGGAACCGCCGCAAGAUGAUGAAGCUGAUUCUAUCCCACCAUUUUACGAAGAUUUUUAUAUCGGUUUCACAGAUUUAUGGAGUUAAGAGUUGGUGACAGUUGAUACAACUCAAGUCUUACAAUUUGUUUGCCCAAUUGUAUUUUAUCUGUCAAUGCACUUUCACUUUUCUUUUUACACCAGUCCUUUACUUUGUGGUUUGGAAUUAUUUUUUUAUGAAAAUAUUUUCUUGUACAUGAAAAGAAAACUGCACGGUUUGGAAAAAAUGCGAUUCAUGGUUAGCUGCAAAUCAACAUCAGUGAUUAAUUACCAUAUGAAUGUCUCUUUGUGUAUAGCCUCUUUUUGGUUCACAUGCUUGUAUUAUGUAUAGAUGACUAGAAAGGCCAUUCCUUUCGAUCCACUCCACACCACAAAAUACCCUUUUCAUCCAGCUCCUUCAAUAUAUAAUUUCUCCUCUCCCUUGGAACCAAACCAAUAUAAAUAUGCAAGAUUAUCACUCAAACAAAUCUGUUGAAUAGCUAUUUCACCAUUUUGUUGAAGAUCACGUGUGAAAAAGAACUUAUGUAACAUAUGUUUUGUUCAAUCUCCUAUGAUGAACUGUUCCUUCAAUUGAGCUAUGCAAGCAAUACUAUCUUCAUACAAUAUUGUUGAAACCUUUGUUUUUAAAGAAAGCCAUAUAAUUGUAAAGUAUGCUGAGUUAUUGACCUUAACCAUACACACUCUCAAUUGCCUUUAAAAUAAGGCAUACUACAUUAAUAAGACCCUUAACUUGACUUCAAAUUUAACUUUGACCUUAAACUUUCAAAGUGCACGAAGAGGCACUUUAACUAUCCAACUCUUAAAUUAAAAAACACUCGAACAUUGCAGCCCAGACGCGUGAAAUGUUGACGCUCCAACGUGGAUUAGUGAGUCACUCAAUGACAACUAAUUAAAAAAAAUUACACAUAGAUAUUAGAAUUUAAAAAAAAAACUAAAUUAAUAUUCAAAUUAAUACAAUGGUAUAGGGUGAAAGACUCUUCCAUUUUACCCUGUUUCUCUCUCAAAAUCGCAAAACUCUAGUUGGGGAUUUACAACCAAAAUCGUGAAUCAAGGGAAACAUCAUUCAAGAUUUGUGCCAAAAGUUCAUAUACACUGAUGUUUAUCUGUUCAUCUUCCUCAACUUAGUCCAAGUGUGUUUAAUUUUACACCUUUGAAAGUUUAUUUUUGAUAGAAAGGUUCAUAUAUUUGAAAUGGGUUUUUUUAAUUCUAGAGUUGGAUAGUUAAAGUGCAUCUUUGUGCACUUUGAAAGUUUAAGGUCGAAGUUAAAAUUUGAAGCCAAGUUAAUGGUCCUUUUAUGUGUUAUGCCUUGAAAUAACUCUUAUCUCUACAUUCUUUGAAGAAGUGACAAUUAUUAUUUGUUUCAUCGAACAUCAUGAUAUAAAUAUAUCAUGUACCUCCAUAUAAAAAUAAAUAGUUUGUCUGAGAUCAGAUUUUAUCUAGGUUAGAUAAAUCACAUCUACAUAAUUAAUCAUCUCUGACUUGAAUACAUAAGAAUAAAACAAUCUCAUAUCAAUUGAUCCUCAAAGAAGUCUAAAUAUAUUCUUAAUACUUUUUCAAUGUCUUCUUGUUGGAGAGAAGCUAAAUCACACCAAUAAACUUACUCUAAAACAAAUACAUGACCUGGUAUUGUUGGCAAGGUACACUAAUGUCUCGAUAGCACUGAGAUAUGAAGUUUCUUCACCAAGAAGCUUUUUAUUCGUUUCUUGAGGUCAUAAUGAAUUUUUAUUUAUAUCAAGCGAUUUCACUUUAAUGGACGUGAUUUGUCCAUGUAAAAACGCCUUAAAACAUUUUCAGUGUACAUAUAUUAAACAUUGUAUUUAUCAAAUUCUCAAUGUGUAGUCCAAGAAAUUAUUUUAUCUUUACCAAGAUCUCAAUCAUUUUAAAUUCCUACUUCAAACACUCAAUAUUUUUUGAAAGCUCUUUUGAGAGUGCCAUCAACAUACAUAGGUAAGGAUUCCUGAAGCGUUUCUUGUUAAUUUUCAGCACAAAAUUAGUCAACGGUAACUAUAUAUUAUGUGUGAAUUGUUCAGCUUUUCUUGUUAAUUUUCAUUCUAUAUUAUCCUUACUCACUCUCGCUCUCUUCUUUCUUUUCUACUCCUCUGUUUCUUUUCUUUUCGAUAAAAUAUGGGGAUGAAUAUUGAUGAUGAACAACUCCUCAAGUAUCUUAUCAAUUUUGUUACUGGAAUGCCCGUUGAAUGCGAUGAAAUUCGUCUUGUAGACUUGUAUGGCAACAAGAUGCCAUCUCAGUUAUUUGAUACGACUACUACUAAUCAUCAUCAUCAUGUCUUUACUCAGUUAAAGAAAAAAAAAAGGAAUGGUAAGAACUUCAAUAGGGGAAUUGUAGGUGGCGGCGGCUCAUGGAAUGGAAUUAACAGUAAACCAGUUUAUGACGGGAAAAGAUCAGUGAUUGGGUUCAAGAAAACUCUCCGUUUUGAGGAAAAUAAUCAUGUCUGGAUUAUGAAAGAAUAUCAUCUUUGUGAUAAAAUACUAGAGGACUUGAGACUACAUGGUAAAAUUCGAUAUGAGGAUUUUGUUGUAUGUAGCAUUAGGAGGAAAGUCAAUUGGGAUCACAUUCGACAGAAUCUUCUUGCCAGUUCUUCAUCACAAUGUCAAGAAACUGUGAAAUCCAGUGCUGCUAAUGUAAUUCCAUCUCAGGAGUUAAACAGUAUUUUCAAUGGGAACAUCAGUCAAGUUAGUUUACUUGCAAAAGAAUCAAAAGUGACCCAAUUGCCUGCUGCAAUACAAGAAGAAUGCUCUGUUCCUGUGGUUCAUCCGGAAACUCCCUCUGUUAGUUUCGGCGCAAUAGAAGAAGAAUGCUCUGUUCCUGUGGUUCAUCAAGAAACUCCCUCUGUUAGUUUCGCUGCAAUAGAAGAAGAAUUCUCUGUUCCUGUGGUUCAUCAAGAAACUUCCUCUGUUAGUUUCGUCGCAAAAGAAUCAAAUGUGCCUGCUGCAAAAGAAGUAGAAGAAUGCUCUGUUCCUGUGGAAACUCGUCCGGAUUAUGACAUUGCUACUUACCACAAAGAACUUGAUGCGUAUGCUGCCUCUAUACUCGAAACAAUGGUUCCUUACAUUCCAGAAGUGCAAGAAGAUGAGGAUGAAAUCCCACUUUUCAGCGAAGAUUUUUAUAUAGGUCAUACAAAUCUGUGGAGUUAGAGUAAUCCGUGAUGGUUAAUACAACUCAUUCUUUGAAGAAUUGUAUAUGUUUUUGAUUAUUUUUUUUUUAUCUGUCAAUGCAUUUCAGUUUUCUUUUACACCAGUCCUUUAGUUUGUGGUUUCUGAAAUCAAAUUGGGUUUCUUUGAUUAACUUUUGGCGCGAUUAGUGGUAAGACGAGAUUUGAACCAUGAGAUUAAGGGGGUAGGAAAUGGUGUAGAUAAUGAGCCGUGGCAGGUCAUAUAUGGCACCUGAGCAAUUAACAGCCUUCACAUGUACUAUAUAGGCUAAUGCACAUCAAAACCAGGAAAAUAGAGAAGAACAUCUCAUGGAUAUCAUGAUUUAUUGAUCAUUUGCAUCUCUGUUACAAUUGCUUUCACGAGAUAUUGCAUAUGUAUAAAAUGAUAUGUUAACAUUUAUUAGUUUCAAAGAAUGUCGAUAUCGUUAUCUCUCUUCUCCAUACCACCAACAUGGCAACCAUGUCGCUGAGGUUUUUCAGGGUUAUCUGAAUCAGAAUCACUUGCUUCAACGAAAAGGCCUUCGAGACAUCUUCUUCUGAUUGUUGGUUUGUAUGUAUGUUUCUGGGCACGGGUAACAUUAUAUUCGGCCUUGUGUGCCUACGAUAUCCACUCUUCAGAAAAUUAAUCAAAGCGCAGUCACCACUUUGAUCAACAGUACUCUGUCAGAAAGGUUUUACCUAUGAUAUCCGCUCUUCAGUAAAUCUACAUUACCAGGUUUUCAAUGAAUUCUUUAUAUACAUCAAGUCAAAACUAACUCUUCCUUCUAGUGUGGCUGCCUGGACCACAACGAAGCCACUAUGUUUCACUGUCUCUCAAGGUAACAUAUGGUGCAUCUCAUCAGUAUCUUUGGCUUGAUUAUUAUGUAUCAACUCAAAUGCAUGUGUUCAAACAUUGGUGAAAUCUGUCCCUGUCUGAAAUGCAUGUGGCAAACCCACCUUUAGAUUAUUCUUUUAUACUAGUGGUGUUCAUGUCAGCCUAUGCGUACCUCAACUAUUCCAUCAGGUACCUGUUGCCUCUCACCAAUAUAGAUACCGAGAGUGAUCAGUAGAAUCUGGAGAUUAUUCAAUGUCAUCACCCAUGUUAUUAUCACUGCCUAAUUUGUCAUACUUUGGCCUUUGCUCAUAUUGCAUCCAUCUUUGAUUCUCUCUAAACCAUGACCCCGGGGUUCUUGCAUUUUGUGCUACUAGAGAUUUUAGGUAUUGGAAAAGAGUCAUACUUGAACUUUAACAAUCAAAGCUCAGUUAGCCUUUCUCUCAAGCUCUUUGAAUGCCAUUUUCAACUUCUUCUGUGCAAGCAGUGUAGGCAUAUUAUCACAAUUUGGUUUGUACAAGUGAGUUUGGGUUUGAGAUUAUGGUCGUUUCAAGGUUUUGAUUCAUGUCCCAAAUUAGGCUUGCUUACUCAAAGACAAGGUAUCUCUGCCUUCUAUAUGAGAUAGUAACUAAUUAAUUGAUCAUCUUAUCGAUAAAAUACUAUACGUCUUAAGAUAAUAUUAUCUUAGUUAAUGAAACGAACAAAACAAUGAGAACCAAAAACUGUUCAAUGGUUGAUUGUGUGACUUAUGUUGUCUAGGUUUACACCAAAGCUCGACGGUUCAAAGAUAUCAAAUCUACUGAUUGACCGAGUAUAUCCGAUAUAUGUUCACUACGGAAAGUUUAAAGGGAAACCUACUUAUCCAGAUGCAAUCAAUCCUUACUUACGAAUCACACAGUUUUUCAUGCAUAUGUUUUAACAUAGUCAUUCCCUAUUCAUGUGGGGAUUGUUGGGUUUUAAAGGUGUGAACAGGAAAUGAGGGUUGUGACUCUCCUGAAGAGUUGUGACUAUGCCGAAGGGUUAUGAUCUUUAUGAAAGGUUGUGUCCUUUCUAAAGGGUUGUGACCGUUUGAAAGGGUAUGCUUUUUUCAAAGUGUUGUGACCUUUCUGAAAGGUUGUCUUCUUUCCAAAGGGUUGUGAUCUUUACCCUUUGUUGGCUAUAAAUAGAGAGGUUUUCUCUCAUUUUUCUGCAUCGAAUUCUUCCCUUCUUUUGCAUACAUUUCUUACAAAACAAAAUCGAUUGAUCGUGUCUAUGUGUGUGAUUCGUUGCUGUCAUUUUGAGUUCGUUGAAAUUAUCGAAGUUUGAGGUACCGCUACUUCUUUAAUGGUUAAUCCGUUUUAUCUUGGGAGGAAUUAAUCUGCAACCUUGGGUACUUGAGGGGAUUAAAUUUCUUAAGGAUACACAGUGGGUUCUGUGGACUCAGAUAGUUCUUUGUGUUUUUUUUCAUCUUUUAUUAUUUCUGGUUUGCUAAUCUGAAUACAGGAGACAACAAGCUUAAGAAAUUUAAUGUUGGCAUUUUCUGUGAUAAGGAAACUACUUCUAUUUUCUGUGUUCUUUUUAUUGGGGAUAGAAAAAGAAGAAAAGGAGAAUUAUGUUAUCAUAUGAUAAAAGAGACUUGGGAUGAAUUAGUAGUACUUUAAUAUGUUCGAGUAUAUUUUUUGUAGUAAGUUUUCCUUGAAUGGGUAAGAUUAUUUUUAUUUUCUUCCCAAGUGCAUUCAAGCAUUGCACUCCUUUAGUUUCUUUCAAUGAGAAAGCUAUUUUGUGCAUAAAGGCUAAGAUGAGCACUUUAAUUUUUUCCCUAUAUUCUUGGUUUUAUAUAACUAUGAGAAUAAGUAAUGAACAAAUGUUGUCUCCUAACAAUAUUUGAACAUGAGUUUAGUUUCUUGUUGAAAUUAAAUGUCUUCUUAAGGAAAAUAGGAAUAUGAUGGAAACUGAGAAAAGAAAUAAAAAAUNNNNNNNNNNNNNNNNNNNNNNNNNNNNNNNNNNNNNNNNNNNNNNNNNNNNNNNNNNNNNNNNNNNNNNNNNNNNNNNNNNNNNNNNNNNNNNNNNNNNNNNNNNNNNNNNNNNNNNNNNNNNNNNNNNNNNNNNNNNNNNNNNNNNNNNNNNNNNNNNNNNNNNNNNNNNNNNNNNNNNNNNNNNNNNNNNNNNNNNNNNNNNNNNNNNNNNNNNNNNNNNNNNNNNNNNNNNNNNNNNNNNNNNNNNNNNNNNNNNNNNNNNNNNNNNNNNNNNNNNNNNNNNNNNNNNNNNNNNNNNNNNNNNNNNNNNNNNUUUUUUUUACUCCUUUGGUUUGAAGAAUAUAAGAACUUCACGAACAAAUCAGAUUGUGCAUUGGUUUGAAGAAUAUAGAAACUUCACCAAUUUGUUAAAUACUCUGUUUGAAUGAAUAUUCUGACUUGAAGAGUACAAAAUCUUCGUCAGGAAUAUUAAGGCUAAAUGAUUUGAAAAAGAUAAAAUCUUCAUCGUUAGCUCGAAACAGUGUUGUAUUUGAGGUUUCUGGAGAUUAAAACCUUUUUGGUUUACUACUCUGUCUGAAUGUGAAACUGAUUCGAAGAAUAUUAAAACUUCAUCAGAAUUCAAGGUUCAUUCGGUUAACGAUUAGAAGAAUAUAAAACUUCAUCGUUAAACUAGAAACAAGUUGUAUAAAGAUUAAAUCUUUAUUGUUAGUAUUCUAAUUACUAAGUGGUUUGUCCAGUUGUGACAAAAAGGAAAAAAAUAAAAAUACUAGUGACAUAAAAUUAGUGGUUUUUGUGCCUGCAAUGAGUGUUUAUAUGGAUUAAAUCUCCAAAAGAAAGUUUCGUGUUGCCAAUAUGUAUUUUGAUGGUAUACAAUAUGAAAGCAUGGGAAAAAANNNNNNNNNNNNNNNNNNNNNNNNNNNNNNNNNNNNNNNNNNNNNNNNNNNNNNNNNNNNNNNNNNNNNNNNNNNNNNNNNNNNNNNNNNNNNNNNNNNNNNNNNNNNNNNNNNNNNNNNNNNNUAUAGACAUGAACAUUGGUGAAAAAUGAUCUGUUAUGUUUGUUAUGUAAAACAAACAUUUGGGUCAUAUUGCGCUUAUUGGAUUGAUGAGACUAUGUUCAUGGGUAAUUCUAUAGCAAAUUGAAUGUUAUGGAAAGGUCCUCUAAAAAGGACAUAUGGCAAGGUGUUGACACUAAACCAAUGUCUGUAUUUGAGAAAGUUAUAAAAAGUAAAGAACAAAAUAUUUGUGGGAAAAGGUUACCUCACAGAAGGUUUUUUCAAACUUAGUAUUUCAGUUUGUUCUUACUUGCUUGAAUCAAAUUGUUUGUGACAUAAAUGCUUGGGACAUGUCAAUUACAAAACCUUGCAAAGAUCAACUUAGAAGUUUUGCCUAACUUCUAGUGCAAUAAAUCAAAAUGUGAAGUAUGUUUUGUUGAAAGGAAUUUUAAUACCUUAGAAUUGAUUUAUACUGACAUUUGUGAUAUGAAGUCAACACCAUCUCGUGGUGGGAAAAAGUGUUUACAUAAAUUUUAUUAACAAUUGCAUUAGAUAUUGUUAUGUUUAUUUGCUGAAUGGUAAGGAUGAAGCAAUAGAAACAUAUAGGCAAUAUAAAAUUGAAGUUGAAAAUCAGUUGGAUAAAUUUUUUUGUCAUGGUUAGAAGUGGUAGAUGUGGAGAAUAUGAAUCUUCUUUUGUAGAAAUAUAUUUGGAAAAUGGAAUUAUCCAACCAAUUACUGCACAUUCUCACCUCAAUCUAAUGAAAUUGUUGACAGGAAAAAACCGAACUUUGAAAGAAAUGUUGAAUGUCCUAUUUUAUAAGUUCAGGUUUGCCACAAAAUUUGUGCGGGGUGCUAUCAUUAUAGCAAAAGAGAACAACAAAAAGUUUGUCUGUUCAGAAAGAGAGAAACAAAAAGUUUUGUUUGUUAGUAAAGAGAGUAACAAAAUUUUAUUUUAUUUUUUUAAAAAAACUUUUGUUUGUUAAGAAAGGGAGCAACAAAAAGUUGUGUUUGUUCAUGCUUUGUUGUAUCCUGAUAGAGAAUUGUUUGUCCUCCCUUAAAGUAUAUACAAGCAAUAACUCUUGAAAAAUGGUGAUCUAACAAUUUCCAAUACAGUUUAUUCCAUAUGAGAAAUGGAAAUGAGGGAACUACUCCCAAAAGGGUCAAAAUAGGACCUAAGACUGUGAGAGUUAAUUUGCAAUAGGUAGGGCAUGGAGCAUGAUGUAUAACGGAAAGUCUCGUCAUAUAUGACGUAGACAUAAUAUCGUUAGAGAACUACUCUCUAGUAGAAUUAUCAUAAUUGACUAUGUAAAGUCAAAUGAUAAUGUGUCGGAUCCACUUAUAAAAUGCCUAACUAGAGAGGGAGUUGAUAGAUUAUCAAAGGGAAUGGGACUAUGACUAAGAACAAGUCAUUGUGGCGGUAACUCUACCUAGAAGACUGGAGAUCCCAAGAUCUAGGUUCAAAGAGAUCAAACAAAGUCAUUGAUGACGGUUCAACAUUGUCAAAAUAUUUUUUAUGGUCCAUUCUCAUGAUAAGACAAUGUUCAGUAACAAGGAUAAAGGCAUUAGGACUUUUUAAUGAUUUCUAAGUUUGAUACAGGUUAUAUCAAAUGGUGUAUCUACGGGAUAACACAUUUAGAAAUCAUCUAUGUAAGUGUGAAGUGUAAGCCGCUUCAAGGAGAAUCCGGUAAGGCCAGUUCUCUACGCACUUAUAAACCGAGACGUGUUCAUGGCUGAAACGAAAAAAACAAUGAGAACCAAAAACAGUUCAAGCGUUGAUUGUGUGACUUAUGUUGUCUAGGUAUACACCAAAGCUCGACGGUUCAAAGAUAUCAAAUCUACUGAUUGACCGAGUAUAUCCGAUAUAUGUUCCCUAUGGAAAGUUCGAAGGAAAACCCACUUAUCCAGAGGCAAUCAAUCCUUAAUUAUGAAUCACACAGUUUUUCAUGCAUAUGUUUUAACAAUAGCCAUUCCCUAUUCAUGUGGGGGAUUGUUGGGUUUUAAAGGUGUGAACAGGAAAUGAAGGGUUGUGACUCUCCUGAAGAGUUGUGACUAUGCCGAAGGGUUGUGACCUUUAUGAAAGGUUGUGUCCUUUCUAAAGAGUUGUGACCGUUUGAAAGGGUAUGUCUUUUUCAAAAUGUUGUGACCUUUCUGAAAGGUUAUCUUCUUUCCAAAGGGUUGUGACCUUUACCCUUUGUUGGCUAUAAAUAGAGAGGUUUUCUCUCAUUUUUCUGCAUCGAAUUCUUCCCUUCUUUUGCAUACAUUUCUUACAAAAUAAAAUCGAUCGAUCGUGUCUCUGUGUGUGAUUCGUUGCUGUCAUUUUGAGUUCGUUGAAAUUAUCGAAGUUUUGAGGUACCGCUACUUCUUUUAAUGGUUAAUCCGUUUUAUCUUGGGAGGAAUUAAUCUGCAACCUCGGGUACUUGAGAGAUUAAAUUUCUUAAGGACACACAGUGGGUUCUGUGGACUCGGAUAGUUCUUUGUGUUUUUUUUUUCCAUCUUUUAUUAUUUCUGGUUUGCUAAUCUGAAUACAGGAGACAACAGUUAACACCAAUAUUAUUAUUCUUAUCCCACGUAUCUCACUCAAACUUUGUUCAUUAUGAUGUAAUCUAUUUCACGAAGCACUAAAAUAAUCAAAAUUUUACUUCAUGUACUAUUAUAUUACAAAAAAAAGGCAUAAAAUUAAUUAACGGUAACUAUAUAUUAAAAAGAUAAAUUUAGCAACAAAUAUUAUUCAAUACUAAUGAAUUGAACGUAUCCAAUUUAUUGAAAAAGUUGUAUAUAUAUUUUCUCUAGAAUUAUCUUAGUCACCAACUAAUUAAUGAGAGGAAAUACUCUCCUGUCGUAAAUAGGAUACCGAAAACAAAGACCAACUGUGAAUCCUUUCUAUUUUUGGUAAAAGAUAAUUAAAGUCCUAAUUGUCUCAUACUAAUGAUUUUUAUUUAUAUUUAAAUAUUAAAAGACAAAAAAAAGUUACCUAAAAUAGUUAUCCCAGUUCCGAAUCAUAGAAGAAGUCGGAAGUAGUUCAGCGUUAGUUUCUCUAUAUAUUAUAUACGUAAGUUGAAGUCUUUCUACGAUAACUCUUAAGGUAAAAUAUGGAGAUGAAUAUUAAUGAUGAACAACUCAUGAUCUCUCUUCUUAAAUUUGUUAAUGGUGUUUCUGUUCAAAUUCAAUUUGUCGACUUGUAUGGCAAUAAUAAACCUUCUCAGUUAUUUGAUACUACCACUACUACUACUACUACUGAAUAUCAUGUUUUUACUCAGUUAAAGAAAAAAAAGGGGAAUGGUAAGAACUUCAACAGGGGAAUUGUUGGUGGUGGUGGCUCAUGGAAAGGAAUUGACAUUAGUAAACCAGUUUAUGACUGGAAAAAAUCAGUGAUUGGGUUCAAGAAAACUUUCCGUUUUGAGGAAAAUAAUCAUGUUUGGAUUAUGAAAGAAUAUCGUCUUUGUGAUAAAUUCCUAAACGCCUUAAUAAAAAGUGGUCGUAUUCAGGAGGAAUUUGUUGUAUGUCGCAUUACAAGGAGUGUCAAUACUUCUUCUCAGGUUCUCCCAAUUUCUUCAUCACAACCACAACAAACUGUGAAAUCUUUUGUUCAAGAUUUGGGACAAAUCAGUGCUUCUAAUGUAAUUCCAUCUGAUCAGUUAAACAGUAUUUCGAAUGGGAACAUCAGACAAGUUAGUUUAGUCACAGAAGAAUCAAAAUUGCCUCAAGGCUCUGUUCAUCAAGAAACUCGUCCUCAUUAUGACAUUGCUACUUACCACAAACAACUUGAUGCAUAUGCUGUCUCUGUACUCGAAACAAUGGUUCCUUACAUUCCGGAACCACCACAAGAAGAUGAAGUUGAUUCCAUCCCACUUUUCUCCGAAGAUUUUUUUAUUGGUUAUACAGAUCUCUGGCUUAAGAGUUGGUCAUAGUUGACACAACUCAACUCUUACAAUUUUCUUUGCAAGAUUUUAAAUUUUAUCUAUCAAUGUACUUUCAGUUGUGGUUUCUUAAUUUGGUUUAGAAUUAUUCUUUUAUGAAAAUAUUUCUUAAAAGGUCUUAUACAUGAAAAUUAAACCACAUUGUUUAAAAAAUAAUCUAUUGAUGGUUAGCUGCAUGCAUGAAACACUAAGAAUAAGUUCCUUAUGGGUUUUCAUCCACAAGUAAUUAUACCACUAAGGCUAACUGAUCUGCUACACUACAUAUUUAUAACAAUAACACCAAGAAAAUUAGAGUUUGACAAUUUGAUGACUUCUGGUCAAUGUGAACUAGAAUGGAAGCACUGAGGAGGAGAUGGAAGUCUUGUUAAACUAUGACUGACGUGAACUGUUGUUACUUACACCAAGUCCAGUGAUUCAUCUAUUUCACUAUAACAAAUAACCAAAUCUUAAUGUUAAAAAAAAUGGAAACCUACCAGUUUACAAGUUCAGUGAUUCAUCUAAUUCACUAUAACAAAUAACCAAAUCUUAAUCUUAAAAAAGAAAGGAAACCUACAGUUUACAGCACGCGGUUGUUGCUCUCACUAGUAUAUAUACACACAUACACGAAAAUAUGAAGAGGUCAGAGCCAAUGCAUGUAAUCUCAAGUCACCUGCGAUGAUAGGUCAAACAAGGUCACACUAAUAAGUGACUACUUGGAACUCUUAGCCUUCUUAUCAGCUGCAGCAGCUUUAGCAGCAGAUUUGGCCAGGGCAGUGGGCUUCAAGGCACUUUUGGGGUUCAGUGCCUUUCUGAUCUUAAAAACAGCCCAGGCAGUCCCAAAAGCAUGCCCGGCAGCAUCAAGCCCUUCACUGGUUGCAUUAGCUGCUUCUUCUCCAUACCUACAAAACACAAAUUUCACUUUUAAUUCAGAACUGAACCAUUAGAGCUUCAUGUCUUUGUCUUAGUCUAUAACCCCACUGAUAGUGUGUAAUAGCACUUAGUUGAGUGCUUCCCUCAUGCCCAUACUAUCGUGAAGAGUAAGAGAACGUGACAAAAUAAAUGAUAAUGUAUUGCGAUUGAAAGAUGGAGGUCUGUUACCAUAUGAAUGUCUAAUUUUGGUUUCUAGUAAAUAACAGAAAAAAAACAUAUCUAGCCAAGAUAACUGAUCAAUUACUUAAUCUAGCCGUCAGCAAUGCUUAAGUAGUAAAAAGGCUAGGAGAAGAGAAGUUUUUCUUUGGCAAUUUUGCAGAUAUGUAAAACUCUAAGAUAACUAAGCUUCACCUGUGAGAAACAAAUUCAGUUGUCACAGUGCCUGAUGUAGACAUCACAUUCUUUCCAGCUACUUCAACGGCAUCACAUAUUCUGCCUAUUAACAAGAAUAUCUGCAUUAGACUUCUUCCAAAUUAAGUCACUAACUUGUAAACAAAAAACAAAUAAAUUGCAUCUACUUCUGUGAAAGACAAAUUGCAUUGCUGUGAGAACCAGUGCAUUUACUUGUGUUGAAACCACCAAACAUCAUCUUUCGGGUCCUCAAUAUACAUAUUGUACUCUAACUGAAACACAAGCAAGAUGCAUAAAGUUAAUGUUCUUGUCACCCUUAUGCCACCUGGCAUCCUGAGUGAGAGGGGUUGGGGGAGGAAGCAGGAGCCCCCCAGUGACCCAAACAUAAAAUAGUUACUCAAAGUAGUCUGUUUGACAGCCCGAAUGGGGAUGACUUGAUCCCUUUUCAUGCAGAAAAGUGCUUCGACCAAGCUUGUCAUUAUAUCCUAAAUCGUCUACGGGUGAUCAACUCAUUCUUGCCAUGAAGGACAAAAAUUUAAAAACAACCACAAGAAUCCAGAGACAUAAAUAAUGAGCAGAAAUUCCCCCUUAUAUCAAUGAAUUAUACUGCACUCUCCUCCAUUCAAACAUUACAUACUACACCAUUGUGCACGGCACCGAUUUUUGCUAAAUUCCUGUAGCAUGCAGCAGUAAUACUAUGUCUAAUCUAGGAAAAUUGAUUACAUGUUUCAUUUUUUAAUUGAACGAUUAGCUGAGAAAGGAAAGGAGGGGAAUGGGAGCGAUAAAGAUUUUAAAGAUUUUAAAGGACUUUAGAAAGAGAAUAAAAGGAGAGAUGGGAAGGGCACUGAAAUAAAGAUUGAAUCUUGUAUCACCUAUAUCUAAACAGCAAAACUAGAAAAUUGAACCUGUUUUAUUCACACUGGGGUAAUCUAAAAGGGGAACUUUGUGAAUAAAAUGAGUUACAGUUAAAUGUUGAAUUAUACGAUAAGAAAUCCAACGAAACAAUAGACUAUAACCGAAAUCCUUAAUUGAAAGAUCAAUAACUCAAGGCCUCCAAAGCCAGUAGUGGUGUUCAAAGAUAUCCAAUAAACCGAGAAAAGAACUUGACUAGUGGUUUGGUCUGACUUGGUUUGGUGUUGGAAAGAAAAACCUGACCAUAAUUAUUUUAUUUGGUUUUAACUAGAAAAAGUCAAAGCGAAACCAAAUCAAACGGACAAUAUAUUUAUACAACAUACCCAGUGUAAUCCCCCAAGUGGAGUCUGGGGAGGAUGAUAUGUAUGCAAACUUUACCCCUACCUUGUGAAGGUAGAGCGGCGGUUUCCAAAAGACCCUCGACUCAAGUAAAGCAGAUAUAUUGAUACAAAUUUUAUAAAUAUUUUAUACUUUAAACAUUUAUUGUGUAAUAUAAUUUGUAAGUAUUUGUUACACUUUUUCAAAAUUCAUGUUUCUUAACAUAUUACUUCAAGUUUUAGCUUACAAUUUUUGAUGGUACAAUAAGUUUUUAUAGAAUUAUAGCCUAUAAACAUCUGGUAACUCAAAUAAAACCCAAGUCAAACAAUGUUCAUUUUCAUUAUCUCUUAUAAAUAGUACUUGUUUUAUGGGUUUUCAUCAUCUUUGUGGUUGGUGACACUAUAUUUGGAAGUAUUAGUAACAAGUUUUGUGUUGCGGAGACUAUACUGAAAACCCUGCAAAAAAAAAAAACCCGAAAAAUCCAAGAUCGAAAAACCCUCAACUCUUGUUGGUUUGAUUUGCCCCCUUAGCUCUUACAUGGGUUAUAUGGGAGGAGAGAAGUAGGAAAGUUUUUGAAGGGAGUAAAAAUGACUCUGUAUAUUUGAGGUAGUCUCUUGUUUAUAACUUAUUUUUGGUUCACUUGCUUGUAUAUAUGAUUGUGUAACUUUUGUAGAGAAACAUGUUCUAUAGCUGAGUCUCUACUUUUUGGUAUACUGCUUGCAUAGAGGAAUUUUCCCAAUAAUUUAUCUACCUUAUCCCCCAAAGAAAAUGCGACUAAUUUUCUGAUUGUUUUAUAUAUGUUUCCUCUACAAUUCCCCAGCACUCUUUAUUCAUGAAAACAAGUGCACUUUACAAGAGGCUUUCUUUUUUCUCAUGUCAUUUUAUUUUACCUUUUUUUUUCUAGGAGACAAGGUUAAAUUAUUGUUUGAAAGUUUCAAGAAUGGGUCGCUUAUUGAGUACAGGAAAAGAGGAAGAAUUAGGAGAAAAGGAAAAGAAUAUAAUAUCACUCAUUGUUGCUGAUGUAUAUGCACUGAAUAUGCUAUUUUGCUGAAUGGUAACACUGUAUAAUAAAUAAAUGUUUUUUCAGUUUAACUUAGUUCAUUUACUUUAAGAAAAUCUAUUAAGGUUUAUUCCUUUCCCAUCAGACAUGUCCUUGACGCUAUGAACGGCCCUAUACAGUCUAAACAUGAUAUCUUAGCUAAUCCAUUUGACUGUGAUAAUGAUAAUAUAGGUGCUACAAAGCUACAGUUGAAUUUCUUUUUUGUGACCUGAAGCAGCUGGGGAAGAAAAGGUAGAAAAGCAAAUAGCGGAACUUAUAGACAUACAAAUUCCACAAAAUUGGUCAGAACAGAGAGAAACCAAAAGACGUGACUUACUAAAUCCAUCAAGAGUGGCAAGAACCAUUUCCCCUGGUAGGAGGCUAAAGAACUUUUUUCCUGCUUUGGUAUUUGCAAGGGACCUAGUAAAGAAUCCUGAAACCUUCACAGCUCCAGAUAGGACUCCAACUGCCACUUUCUCCGUCAUUUUUGUCACUCGCUUAACCCUGAAAAAAACAUUCGAAGAAAUAAGUCGGUCUUUUUUUUAAUGGGUAAAAGCUUUUAUCCAUAUGGUACCGAGAUGGUACAGGACCAAGUACAAGACAAAGCUACAUCAUCUCCACCACAUUCAUACUACAUAUUCCCCCCNNNNNNNNNNNNNNNNNNNNNNNNNNNNNNNNNNNNNNNNNNNNNNNNNNNNNNNNNNNNNNNNNNNNNNNNNNNNNNNNNNNNNNNNNNNNNNNNNNNNNNNNNNNNNNNNNNNNNNNNNNNNNNNNNNNNNNNNNNNNNNNNNNNNNNNNNNNNNNNNNNNNNNNNNNNNNNNNNNNNNNNNNNNNNNNNNNNNNNNNNNNNNNNNNNNNNNNNNNNNNNNNNNNNNNNNNNNNNNNNNNNNNNNNNNNNNNNNNNNNNNNNNNNNNNNNNNNNNNNNNNNNNNNNNNNNNNNNNNNNNNNNNNNNNNNNNNNNNNNNNNNNNNNNNNNNNNNNNNNNNNNNNNNNNNNNNNNNNNNNNNNNNNNNNNNNNNNNNNNNNNNNNNNNNNNNNNNNNNNNNNNNNNNNNNNNNNNNNNNNNNNNNNNNNNNNNNNNNNNNNNNNNNNNNNNNNNNNNNNNNNNNNNNNNNNNNNNNNNNNNNNNNNNNNNNNNNNNNNNNNNNNNNNNNNNNNNNNNNNNNNNNNNNNNNNNNNNNNNNNNNNNNNNNNNNNNNNNNNNNNNNNNNNNNNNNNNNNNNNNNNNNNNNNNNNNNNNNNNNNNNNNNNNNNNNNNNNNNNNNNNNNNNNNNNNNNNNNNNNNNNNNNNNNNNNNNNNNNNNNNNNNNNNNNNNNNNNNNNNNNNNNNNNNNNNNNNNNNNNNNNNNNNNNNNNNNNNNNNNNNNNNNNNNNNNNNNNNNNNNNNNNNNNNNNNNNNNNNNNNNNNNNNNNNNNNNNNNNNNNNNNNNNNNNNNNNNNNNNNNNNNNNNNNNNNNNNNNNNNNNNNNNNNNNNNNNNNNNNNNNNNNNNNNNNNNNNNNNNNNNNNNNNNNNNNNNNNNNNNNNNNNNNNNNNNNNNNNNNNNNNNNNNNNNNNNNNNNNNNNNNNNNNNNNNNNNNNNNNNNNNNNNNNNNNNNNNNNNNNNNNNNNNNNNNNNNNNNNNNNNNNNNNNNNNNNNNNNNNNNNNNNNNNNNNNNNNNNNNNNNNNNNNNNNNNNNNNNNNNNNNNNNNNNNNNNNNNNNNNNNNNNNNNNNNNNNNNNCCCCAAACCCUAAUAUAUCCAAAAAAAAUCCAAAUAUUGGUCCCAUCCUAUCUAGACUGUCAUAACACCAAAAACAAGUCUUUGAUACAUCUAUUUUUUACUCUAGCAAUCUGCGGUCUUCUCCCCUCAAAGCAUGUCUUGUGUCUUUCCAGACAAACAGUCCAAAAUAUGCAAAUGGGAAUAGUCCUCCUUAUCUAUUUCACACUUCUCUUGACUCUUUGAGCUCGCCAAACUUCCAACAGAUUACUGAUCUUCUGUGGUAUAACCAAAGACACACCCAUAAUGUUCAGAAACAAUUCCGAGCAUUGUCUUGAGGAACUGCAAAGUAGGAACAAAUGCGCACUGUUUCCUGCUUCCUGUUACAAUAAAAACAUCUGCUGCACAUGGAAUAGCCUCUCCUCCUUUGCAAGUAAUUUUGGUUUAAACAAGUAUCCCUGGCUGCUAACCAAUCAAAGCAGGCAUAUGAUAAUUUCCCUUUCUGGGAGUGGAAAUUGACGAAAGAAAACUUUUUGAGCUGCUUAUUUCCAUACUUACCAUUAAAAUAUAAAUGGUAGUUUCUAAUGCUACAGUUUAAGUAUACCAGAUUUUAGAAUUUAUAGGCAUUUGUAGUAACAGGGAAUAUCAUCAGUAAUAGAAACUAGUUACACUCAGAUGAACCAAAAUUAUCUUGGUCUGAUAGAUGAACUUUAAGGACACAUUAUUAAAACUGAAUAACAGUUUUAACACAUUAUUUUUUUUUAUGACAAGGGAAACCUGCAGCCGCUACCCCUUGGGUGCACACAGGGUAAAAUCCCCCGCUCCUAUGCAAUAGCUCGCAAACCACAUAGGAGAGGUAACCCCCACUAGGCAAGCCCGGUGCGACGAGCUUGACCCAGAAGGCAAACCCCUUACUUUUCGCUGGCAAGGGGUUUCGAACUUGAGACCUCCAACAUGGAAGUCCCAAGCCCAAACCACUGGGCCACCCCGAAGGAUCAGUUUUAACACAUUAUUUUUUUUAUGACAGGGGAAACCUGCAGCCGCUACCCCUUUGGGUGCACACGGGGUAAAAUCCCCGCUCCUAUGCAAUAGCUCGCAAACCACAUAGGAGAGGUAACCCCCACUAGGCAAGCCCGGUGCGACGAGCUUGACCCAGAAGGCAAACCCCUUACUUUCGCUGGCAAGGGGUUUCGAACUUGAGACCUCCAACAUGGAAGUCCCAAGCCCAAACCACUGGGCCACCCCGAAGGAUCAGUUUUAACACAUUAUAGCCAAAACAGUUAACAAAGUCAUACAUAAACUUUCAUAGCCCAACAGUUUACUUGGAUUAGCAAAAUCUCUAAAACACCACAAACAUUUCACAUCAUCCUAUUCUGGCAAGUGGAUUAUUGCAUCCCCUUCUAUCCACAUUCAAAAACUUAGAAACCAUUGUAUCCUCGUAUUUGUUGUUCUAUAUUCAAUGUAAUCCCAUAUGUGGGGUUUGGUGAGGGUCAUGUGUACACAAACCUUACCCCUACCUUGGUAAACCAGUCAAGUGAUAUAUAAAUGAGCCAUAGUCGACAUUACCUUGUAAUGACUAAAAUUAGAAAUUUCACUCCAAAUGACCUAAUAUCAAGCAACCAUCUCUUCCACCAAAAUCCUAGCACUCAAUGAAAGAUUGUCACAAGAAAACAAAAGAGAGAGCCUUGUGUGCACGAAAGAAAAAGGCUAAAUUUUUCUAAAUUCAACACUUUCACAAUCACACCUUCAACUGACAUUGACUCAUCCCAAUCGUUGAAAUACAACAGGCAGUCAUGUAUUAAUGUGGGGAAACAAAAAAUUUCUUCUACUUCAAUUUGCCAGCUUUCCCAUUUGAAGAGAACAAACAGAAGCACUUCCUUCACAUUCUACCUACAUAGCCCAUUAAGAAUUCAACAGGUAGUCUCACUAUACUUGAUCUUACUUUGCAAAACAGUCAAGAUAUUUAGCUAAUCAUCAAGCCAGCCAAAGAGAAAAAGAAGCAAAAGUUCGCCAAAAUCCUAGAAAGGACAUACCUUUUGAUCCUCUUCAACGUCUCAGGACUGACCUCAGUCUUCGAACCUGUCUUAAAUCUAUUCUUCAGAACCUCAUUCCCCCACUUCAAUCUAUCUGUAGUAACAUCUCCACACCACAAAAUCCCCUUUAUCAAGUGUCCUGAGCCUGAAGCAACUAACUUUGCCGCGGUCGCAUUGUACUCCUCCACAUUGGGCGCCAAUGUGGUCCAAUACGCCGCACAUCUCUCUUCCAACACCUCCUUCUUCUCCGACUUUAAAUCCGCCGGUGACAACUCCUUCGCCACCGGUCCACCUAAUGCUGCCGCGGCCUUCUCCUCCACUUUCUGCACUGCAAAGUUGCUGUAAUUUUCCAAAAUGCCAUCCAACUCCUUCAAUAACUUCUCCUGUCCUUUGGAAGCAAUCGUCAAACCAUAAUUCAACGAGUCAUUGGCCGAGUCACUGACUGAUGAUUCUUUAUCCAAUUCAUCGUCUUUGGGAGCUUGAAAUGAGAAAAAGUAAUGCGAAUCAUCGAGUUUUACAGCGGCGAGGUCCUUAGUCAACGGCCACUGGAUUUCAUUUCCAACACGAACUAGUACUGCGACGAUAUUGUUCCCUUGUCGGAGACGAUGUAGGAAUAAAUCGCCGGUGGCGAGUUCAACGGAAUAGUGCUUGUCAAUCAAGUGAAGAAUGGAACCGGGGAUAACGAGAAGGGUUUCUUCAAGGAUUUCAGGAGGAGCAGAUGGUGAAUAAUGCUGUUCUUCAGGGGCAGUUUGGUCAUUUUGAGGGAAGAGAUUUUCUACAAUGUCGUUCAUGUCAAUGGUUGGGUAAAGAUUUUGGCGAGAGGUAGAGGAUGGGAAAGGGGCAUUUUGGUCAACUACUACUUCUGGAUACAUUGAAGAGGAAUUAGGGUUUUUGGAAGCCAUUGAGGUAGGAAGAGUGAUCAAAGUGAAGUUGAAGAUGAAAUUUUUGGAGAAAAAAUAAAUAAAGAGAAAAGGUACUUAAUGGCCAAACGCGUAAAAGUACGCGUCAUUGGUAGUUGGCCAAAUUAACUGUCUUGGGAAUUUCCCGCUAUAUGUUUUCGAGAGAAUAUAAUAAUAAUUUUGGAAUAAAAUUUGCGAGGGCUGGCCCAACUAGGGCUUAUAAGUCUCAUUCAUAUAAGCCUUUAACCCUUGAGGUUUGAUCGGGACUGUGUCGAGGUCAAAACUAUUUAUUUAAGAGUAACUUACAACAAUCUCACUAGUAUAUGAGUUAAUUACUUAAAUGCACACUACGUUGUGAUAUUAUGAAUCUUACUAGAUUUUGAUACGCUCGAAUACAUGUAUCUAGGGAUACAUGAACUCAAAAUUAGGUUAAGUUGUUCUAAUUACACUCUAUCCAAGUGGAUUCACUUGUAUCUAGGAUAUAUAGACAAAUCAUGCACCCUCGCCUCCCUCCAAUCUCGCUUGUCACUCUCUUAUUCGGCUUGCGUAUCUGGGAUCUAGAUACAUGUAUCUCGUGUAUCUAGUAUCAUAGAUAUAUGCUAAUCACACUAGAUUUUUUGCUAGUGUUAUUGAAACAACACUAUUAUUUGUCAUAUUUGAUUUGAAAUUUUUUUCAUUUUUUUGAUGUUAUAGAAUUUUAAAUUUGAAAAGAAAAAAAAAAUUAAAAAAAGGGCUAGCCCGCCCCAGCCCUCAACCCAUCUAGGGUUGGGUAGGGUUGAGCAUUUUCAGGCCCUUUUAAAUGAAGAAUCGGCCUGCCCUAGUCCUUCAAAAUUCUUAACCCGCGAGGCUUGGGUCAGGUGGGGCUGAGUCAACCCUUUUGACAACUCUAUUAACUUUGUACCAUAUUUAGUUUGAAAUAUUAGUUAAUUUUGAAAUAACAUUGAUAAAAUAAGUUGUGCAUACUUUCAUUUUCAUUUGUAAAAAAAAAAAAAGUUGAGUUGUAGUUACUCUACUUAUAUUCAUUUAGAAAUUGUUUUAUACAAUCUUAUGAUAUUUUAUAGGGUGGAUAUCCUAGGGGACUUUUUGAGAUUAUACCAAAUGACCCCUAUUAAUAUUCAAAUUGCAAAUUUAAAUUAUGUGUGAUAUUUUUUCUUUUUCAAAAUAUUCUUCAGUUACUAAAAAUGGGACAAUGACAUCCUUUUAUCUAAGUUAGGUUUUAAAAUAUUUCUCAUGGUUAGCCAACUGGCUUUGUUAUGCCCUUAAAUUAUGAUUUAGGUUCGAUUUUAUUUUUUCAAUAAAGGACCAAAAGUAUUUGUCAAUUAUUAAAAUAUGAUAAUUGUAACUUGUUUAUUUGAUUUUAGUACUAUAAACAUCUUCAUUAUUAGCCAAUUUGCAAAGUACUUGCAAAAUCACAUAAUUACUAGAAAUUCUUAGUGUGUGAUUUUAACAAUGUGUAUGUAUCAUGAAAAAAAGAAAAGAUCUCAGGAAAGAAUUUAGUGAAGCAACCCAAAAGAAAAAAGAAAAAUAGCAAGUUUUAAUUAAAUUGCAAUCAACGAAAAAAAUCUGUAUCUCAUCAACCAAGGAAGGUGUCAAAGAUAAUUGAUACCAUCAUAAAUCAAAAUUCUUAAGGAACCUAUCAAGAAGCCACCAUCAAGAAAAAAAAUCAUGACGCAAAUCUUAUUUGGAGUCCCUAAAUCUUGCCUAGAGAGAAUUUUUUUCUUAAAACUGAUCAACGGACUAAUUGAUUGAAAGUCGAUCAAGAUCUUUUUUUCCUUUUUCUAAGUUUUGGAUCGUGGAUCGCCCAUGUGGACCGAUCCGACCCGAUCCAACUCAAGAUUGUUUUUUCUGAAUAAUAAUAAAAAAGAUAUAUACUAAUUUAAAAAGGGGGUGGGAAUAGUUACAUUUCUAACGUUAAUAUGCUCUCCUUUUUAAAUUAAGUUUUUCUUUCUUUUACGCUUGAUAUGAGAAAAAACAAGAAGAAGAACAAAAAACUCAAAAGAGAAUAAGAAAAUCUUCUUAUAUUAAAGACACACAACAAAAAGAACAUUUAGUUUGUGAAACACUAUCUUUGUUUCCUAGUGAUUCAAAGAAGGAUUUAGAGCAAAUCAUUUAGUUCGUGAAUUUCAUUCCGCUGCAACAAUCAAAGGUACACAAAUCUUGUACCAAACGUUGUUUAAAUUCUUUCAUUGAUAUCAGAGUCAUCGUUAAUUGCUCAAUGAUAAUGUAGUAUUCGUUGAAUAUAUAUAUAUAUAUAUCUUGUGUCAAGAAUAUUUAUAUGAAGAUCAAUAUAUUUUUUUAAAACUAUGAUUAAGUCGGAUUCAUAUGUUAGAAUUUUUUUUUUGAAUUUGAUUGUAAAUCUAAGAACAUGCCUUCAAUUCUUCAACUUAUUAUUCUGACGAUGUAGUGUUUUUUAUUCUUUGUUGGGGAAACAAUCAAAGAUGGUUUAUUUUUUGUUUUGGGUAGAGAAUAAAAAAAAAAUUCUUUGUCGUGGAUGAAGCGUUUUUCCUUCUGUUUGUUCUUUUGAAGUUUUUUUAAAUCUAAAUAUAAGAUGAAAAGUUGAAUAAGAUUAGAGUUGUAAAGGUAAAGGAGUGUUAUGGAUUUUAAAUGACCUUGUACUAUUUUUUUUUAUUUUAUACUUUCUUUGUUGGAAGAGGUCAAAUAAAUAGUAAAAAGGAAUAACAUUAAAUUCAAUGUCCUUUUAGAAUAAGGAGACUAGUACACAUGUAUUUAUAAUAGUACUAUGAAAGGCUUAAUUUUUUUUUUAAGAAAAACGUAAAUUGCCUUUUUUUUUUGCUAGAUAUUUAUAGUCAAUUAAAAAUACUCUUUUGUCAUCUGAUGUGACAUUCAUUCCAAUUUACUUAAGGUAGUAAAUAUUGGACUUGUACAAUGGAAAGGAUUUUUUUUAAAGAAGGAUUUCUUAUUCAAGAGAUGUGAAAUUUAUGUAAUAAUUUAUUUUUUUUUGGAUCUAGUCAAAACCUUUUGGGACAUAGACUUUGUAUUAUCUUCUUUAUUUAAUAAAGAAUAAUGACCAAUUAUUUUGACUAAAUUGAGAUUUUAAUUAUGAGUAUUAAAAUUGGUCUUGAUAAAUUCGUUAGGUCCUUAAGUUCCUUAAACAGUUCCUUGUCUUAUACGAGAAAUUUAUGACAUAUGUUGUCGCAUUAAAUCGUAUUAACCAUAUUUUCGUUUUGUUCCCAUUUCCGAUAUGGCUGAACAGGAACAUGCUCAAAUUACUCCAAAAGAAGAAGCCAAAUUCCAAGAAAGGAAAAUGUUUUUUUAAGAAGAGAGACGAGCAAAAUGAAGUGCUACAAUUGCCAAAUGUUGGGGCAUUUCGCUCGUGAAUGCACUAAGCCGAAAAAGGUAGCAUUUCUAAACGCAUCUCAAAGUGCAACAUAUGUUUCUAGCACUUCUCUACUAACUAAAUCUUAUCCUAUGUGGAUUGUAGACUCAGUAUCCACCGACCACGUGAGUCGAGAUCGAGAAGCGUUUGUGGAGUUUCGUCGAGUUUCAUGUAAAUUAAGGUGGAUCUACGUGGGAAAUUGAUGCUUAUUGUGACCAACGACACUAACCUACGGUAUGAGUGUUUGCGAUCAUCGAUAGUAUAGUAACCCAACUAAAGGUUGGGGUCGUGUCCCAAGGGAGUGGUUUUCAGAAUUGAUAGAAAAAUAAAAUUUAGCUCUAACUAGUUGUAGCUAAAGAUAUUAACGAGUAAAAACAUGGUAAAUAAAAGGGGUGACACGAAAGUGUCAAAUAUCGAUUUUGGGGUUUUGUUACAAGUAGUAAAAGUAGCAAAAAUUAACAAGAAAAUCAAGUAUGGGGGAAAUAUUCUUGGGGUGUGACCGCAAUACAAGUUGAGAUAAAUAGUUGGGUACAUGCCUUUGACAAGAAAUUUGUAAGAUAAUAGUGACUAGGCUAAGCUUUAAAUGGAAAUAAGUUCCCUCUCGGGUAACUUACCCUGUUUCAAAUGCGUUCCUCUCGGACACUCAUUUGCCGCAUGAAGUCCAGCCUACGCCUUACCCACUCACUCUCUCGAGCGGAGUGUUAGGAUAUGGGACUAGGGCUCACCCUCUCGGGUUGAACCUCAUGUCGACCCACUCUUUAGGCCAUCAGUCUAGUGGUCUUGGUUUUGCGACCUCUCUCUCGGGCAAGCCGAAAACACAUGGGUGGCUUUGUACUUGCAACUACAAACCCUUUAGAUUAAACCAGAACCACUUAGAUGAAAUCACCAUUAAACUACAUCUAACCUAUCAGCAAGCAAGACCCAACAAUAAUAUCAACACAAAUUUGCUAAAUCACACCUCAAGAAUGGGAGGUUUUUUGCCACAUAUCAAGAAAUAACAAAAUACACCAAAAAUGAUAGUAAAAUCAAAUGGGUAUAAAAAGUUAAACCUUAAUUUAAGCAAAGGAAGAAGAAUAGAGAAGACUCACUUCCAACUCGGGGAAGGUGAACUUCUUUCUACAAGUUCCUAAAAACCCUUUCCAAACUUGAGAGAAAAUAUCUAAAAAGUACUAUUCUAUUCUGGAAAUUAAAAUAAAAGUUUGACUCCUAAAAAUAAUAAUAAGUUCAGUAUUUAUAGAUUUCAGAAAAUAGCGUUGGCGGAUCUUUCGGCGAAGUUAGUCGAUGUCGCCGAAUGACUUCGGCGACUCGCCCUUUGUCUAUAUCAUCACCGUUUCGUGCUUGCCUUCAGCACCUUCACGUUCUGGACCAUUGGGCGGUAUAGUACUGCUUCGCGGAACUAUUCGGCGAAGCGUUGACUGUUCCUUUCAUCGCCUUUUUUAUCCUUCUCCUUCAGGGCUUCGCGUAUUGGAAGAAAGGGCGGAGUAAAUCCCUUCGACGAAUCGCCAAGUGUGCUUGGCGAUGCUCGGGUUUCAGCUUCAUCGUUCUUUUCAGCUCUUUUGUUCCUUUUUGUGCCUAAGUGUCCAUGUUUUCACUAAAACUUCAAAUACCUGAAACUUAAGAAUUUUCAUCAGAUAUUUAGACAAAAUAAGCAUUCGAGGACACUAUUCUUAUCAAAAUAAAGCCCUAAAUGAGUUCAAAUUUUGGACUCAUCAACACCCCCAACUUAAACUUUUGCUUAUCCUCAAGCAAGCUCAAGUUCAGCCGUUCAAAAAGGAUGUCUCAAACAGUGAUACACAAGACUCAAACAUACAUACACAACAAGAUUCAAAUUACUUAUGCAUAGAUCAACUGUGUACUCAAAGAUUCAAGUUGUGACACACUAUUACCAGAGAUUCUCGUGCUCACAAUACUUGCUACUUGUGCAACUUCAAGCUCGACAAAAAGUAUCUAAAUGCCUCAUAUGAAGAAUGAUUCCAUAUUCACACACAGAGGUUAAUCAAUUCAAGAUCAGGAAUCAGAUGCAACGCUCACACUACAAAAAAAAGGACACAAUGCAUGUUUUCACCCAUAGGUUUGCCCUUAUUUUCCAAUCGACUUUCGAUUCGGUUACUCAAGAUCAGAAAGGUCUUUCUGAGGCUUAUAAUGGGGCUGAGUGCAAAGGUAUGGUCAUUUAGUGUCACGACCCAAUUUCGCGAGUCAUGAUGGCACCUAUUAUACCCUACUAGUAGAUAAGCCAACCCAUAACCCAGAACAUCAAGCAAUGAAGCGAAAGAGCAGAAACUAGCGAAAACAACAAUCUAAACAAGAAUAACAAGGCGGAAGCAACCCAAAAUAAAUAUAUACAGAAAUCCCUCCCAGAACCUAGAAGUCAUUAGUACAGAGCUAUCUAAUAAAGAGUACAAGUCCCAAAAGUGGACCACAACAGAGCGUGUCUCAAAGGCAACAAGACUAGCUAAAAACAAAAGAAGGAGAUAGAACAAACCCAAAACGUCAAGUGCUCGCCCUUGUCUCCGAAUCAUAGCUGCAAAAGAAGGCUGGAACUAAUCACCGCUGGUAACUGGUACUGGAACCUGCAUCACGAAAUAGAUGCAGAGCGUAGUAUGAGUACCAACACAACAGGUACUCAGUAGGCAUCAUAGGCCGACUAAGCAAAAAGGGGUAAAAACAAUAAGAAACGAUAGAAUAUAGACACAGAGAGGUCAAAGUGGAUAUGAAAAGCACACGAGCAUACCAGAAACAAACUAAGUACACUUAACUAAACCUAACUGGACCCCCAUAUGCCCAGAAGGUAUACUCGUGUGCAAGCUCAAAUAAAAUUUGAAUGGACCCCUAUAAGCCCGACAGGUACACAGAAAAGCUAAGUCUACUGAGAAAGAAGAAAACUGGGCUCCCAGCCCAAAGUAACUAAGAUAAUCCAUCAGACUCCAUCCAUCCAACAGUGCACUCCCAGCCCAUCUAGAAAGAGUGACCCUAGGGGGCACCCAACCAAACAGUCCACUCUCAGCUUAGCUAGAAAGAGGGACCUGUGAGUAAGGUAGAUAUCGCGAGUCGUCAUUCCAUGCAGUCAGCUUUCAGCCCAGCUAAAAAGAGCGACCCAGGUACACCCAGCCACCAACACACUCCUAGCCCAGCUAGAAAUAGAGUCCCGGGGGAGAUCGCCGAUAUCACCGAGUCUACCCAGCCAGCGAUACGUUCCUAGCCCAGCUAGAAAGAACGACCCCGGGGGUGAUGGUAUCUCCAAUAGGAUCCAAUCCAACAACAACCACCGUAGAAUGUCGUCCACUCUAAGAAAUCACAGAAAAGGCUCCAAGCCUAUACUACUCAAUCCCAUGCCCUCUAGUGAUGCACCAAACCUUCGAGAAUACGUCGGAAUCGCAGAAUGAGAGGGAGAAGAUACAGAAGUGCAGCAAGCAGCGAUAACGCCUAAUCUAAGACUCAAACUAUUAGACUCAAGUCUGCUAUUCAAGUCUACAAGGAGCUAAGUCAUCCGAACGACAUCGACAGAAAGUCAAGGCUAUUCAGCCCACAAGGGUCAUAAGUCUAAGGAAAUGCUAGCUUAACCUAGACUAAGGACAUCAUGCUUACGGUUAAGGAUGAACAAGGCAUACAAUACAUAGCAUACAAUAGCAUUUAGCACAUAAGCAUGCAACUCUACUAAACCGGUUAGCAUGAUACUAUACCCGAAAUAUGGCCAAUCGAUCCUAACCUGAGGUAUCUAAUCAAAGUAAGGUAGUAAACUGGUACCUACCCCCAAUUCACUCCAAUCGACAUGUUUUUACACAAUUUAAGCUCAAUCUAAAAGAAAGGAAGUCGUAGCCUACCAUAAGGCCGAUCACGCGCUCUCCAAAUCACUUUACCGGAGCUUUCCCUAUUCGAACGACCUCGAAACGCUGCCCCGCUAUCAAGAAUUGAGUCACAACGUUAUUACGGUCGUUUAGACACCAAAAUCACAACAAACGAAGAUGAAUCAAUUUUGGAGUCAAAACAAGAAUCGUAGGACCCGCACCGAAUUUGACACCGUCAAGAAACCCUAAACGGCACCCCAAACUUGUGUUCCAAAAUGGAACACAAUUCGAGGCUCAAAACAUAGCAAAAACCAACAAGCAAGAAACCACACUUUAAUUAACUAAAAGAAAACCUACAGCAGCAGCCUAAACUCGGAAUAAAUGAAAAUGGAAAGGUUCCUAGCACUCUUUGAACACUCUACGACGAAGUCUCGACAAUUCUCAACACGUGGGACUCGAAUCACCCAAAACCGAGCUAAAAUGAAAGAGAUAUGACCAGAACAAGAAUGUCAAAAACAAAUGCGCGAAAAAGGAACUGCAGUCAGAUUAAUCGCAAAAUUACCUCGAACUACGUGCACCCAACAACUUCCGAGCACUCUACAGCGAAGCCACCGAAAAUACGAAGCUCCCGCACUUCAAAUCGCCUAAUUCGGAUAAAAGAUGAGAAAGUUAUGAGAGUUUGAAGGUUUGGAAAAUGUUGCUGAUUUUCUGCAUUUAUAGUAGAUUUUCUGCAAUAUUUUCAAAACUUAAAAACUCUGCAUUUAUUGCAGAAAAUCUGCAACAAUUUGCAAAACUUAAACUUCGACGGGGUGCUCCGAUCUCAUUCGGUACCCCGUGCACGCAAACGAGAUAUGCAACCAUACCAAAUUUGAUAUUCCAGACUCAACGGCGCAGUCGAAAUUUCCAUCAGAGGUCAUUUCGAUAAAAAGUGGGUCCCACUUCCAAAAGCCAUUUUAAGUCAAAAUCCACAAAAGGGCUCGGAUAGAUAUCGAAAACCUCCAGACACAAAAGAAGGGUCAAUCUAGACCAAACUCGACAUUUCAGAGUUAACCGAACUGACGGAAUUCUCAUCCGAGCGCGUUUACUCAGAAUGUUGACCAAAGUCAAACUUAGGCUUAAACUUAAAGUUAAAACGUCUAAUCGCACCCACUCACAGUGAAAACCUCGUGAGUCAUGUCGACCUUGCUACCAGCCUAAAAUGACCCUUCCGGAGCUGAUGGAAUCGUCAGAAUUGGAUUCCGAUGUCAUCUUCUUGAACUUUUGAUCGAAAAUGAUCGUUCAAGGUUCAUAAGCUCCAAAACACAAAAACUCGCACCAAGACCAAACGAACGACCAGGUGACCGAACUGUCAGUCCCAGCAAGUCAUAAAUGACUUGGGGUCGCUACAGGAACACUCUAAACGACACACAGAAGGCAAAACACAGAAAUGACCAAGAGGGUCAUUACAUUUAGGCUCAGUGAUUUUGUUCUCGUGAGAUGUGGUAUUCUCAAGGCAUUCCUUUUUUUUUAUAUCAAUUCUUUCUCUAGUACUUCUAAGUCACCUUUUUAUUCACCUUCAUGGAUUGCUUGGAACCCGAUCUCCUUCGUAAGAUUUUUUUUUCUUUUUGUUGAAUUGAAUUGAAGGGGUUCCAUUUUCAUGCAAUAACAUGGGUUAGGGGGGGGGGGGGACUUUUCUUGCACUUCUUGACUUCUCCUUUUCCUUUUCACCACUUGGCCUAAGUUGGCUAUUCACUAUACCACAAAUCAAGAGGAUUAUAGGUAGUGUGUCAAGUAAGGUCUAGGGUUAACCAAGGUUCUUCCAAAGAAAGGUAAGGCUCAAAGGGUGUUCAAAAGGGUUUCACAUGCUCACGGGUAGGCCACAAAAGAGGUCUAUGUCAAAUUUGGCUCACACUCUUUAAAGUUGCCUAAGAUCAUUUCAAAAGGACACCUUUCAAAAUCAAUCAGACUAACAGGGCAAAUUCUAGGUUUAUUCAUGCAUGGUUCAAAGCAAGCUAAUCACACAAGGCAUUGACACUUAAAGCAAACAAGACUACACACUUUCGCUAGUGUGCAAUGAUCAUUACAAGAGAAUCAAUUCGAUAAAUGGCUAAUCACAACGAGAUGCAAAGAGUUCACAUGAAUGUCAACACAAAAGGUGUGGGCCUCACCCCACCACAAAUAAAAAAACGUUUGUCCUUAAAUGCAGGUAUUACAAAAUCCAAACUGGAAUAUAAUAAGACAGAGAGGGAGGUAAAGAGAUGAUCCUGGCUAAUAGGUUACUUCAUCUAUCAUGGUAUCAAUAUCCGGAGUGACCGACAGAAAGACCAGCUCCACUGGAUCCCGCAGCAGGAGACUUUGCUAAAAAAGCUUGUACAAUAACAUUUAUCAUGAUUUCUUCAGUCUCGGCUCUGUCGUCCGCUGUAGCUUUCUCAAAUAUCUCUUCGUCAGUUUCUGCUUUCGAUUCAGGAUCAACUAUAUGCUUCAUUCCAUUUUCAUGUCCUGCCGCAGUCUGAGGCAUCUCGGGCGCAUCUGGAAUUUUCACUGUUCCAAAGAUCAUGGAUAUAUCAAUAGACUUUAGGUAGUCCACAUCUUUCUUCAGCUCUGCAAUGGUGGCCUUUACGGCUGUUACUUCCUCUGUAGCUCCUUGAUCGUGCUCACACACUAACAUCCUGACCUCUAGAGCAUCAAUAGUAGUGCUCAGUGGUCUCACGGCAAUGUCGAGGGCGGCCUGAAUCAUGCCUGGGAUAGAGCUUUCCAUGUUGACCGUCCGACAAUUAGCAGUUUGGGAAAGCUGUCUCAUUCGUAUCAAGGAUGCUUGAGUGAUUGGUUCACAAGGGGUAACAACAGCUGAAGGUCCAUGGGCAAGAGGAGGCAAAGAUGCAUGUUGACACCCAAUUUUGACCGACAUCUAACCCUUUUUGGAAAUGCUAUUCGAUUAAAUACGUAUUUUUAAAACACACUUCAAGUUUAAAAUUUUAAUCAAUUUUGGCUAAAUAUCUUAUAUUUAGUAUGCAUGAUUUUUAAAAUUAUUGUAUUUAUUAUCAAAUUAUUUUAUUAAAUUAUAUUUAUCGAUAGUUAAAAUCGAAAUAAUUAUUUUACUUCAAUAUUUUAAAAUAUUAAAUGUGUGAAAAUUUUAAUAUGUAGUAUUUUAUUAAUCGGAUAGCAUUUCCCUAUUCUUCCCUUAAAUCAUUUAAAUUUUAGCCUAUUCUAUUCUAAUUUAUUUCAAUUCUAGCCAAUCCAAUUCAAAUUGUAUUUCAAUUAUAGCCAUCCUUUCAUUGCAAUUCUAGCCCAAUUUUACUGUAAUUUCAAGACCCCAUCCUUUAAUCUCAGCCUUCCGUGCCCUAAAUCUAAUCCCAACCAUCUAUCUGAAUUAAUCCAAAGGUUCAGAUUCGAUCAAACACCACCUUCCUAUUUUAUAUCAAAAGAACCAAAACCCUAAAAAAAGUUUUCAUUAUCUUCCUCCCAUCUCUCUCUAGCGCCACUUUUUCUCCCUUCUUCUCUCCAGAUCGCCGCCUCCAGCGAGACAAGCAGCAACCGGUGAGAACUGAGCAAUGUUGGCGCCGCCUCCUCCAUCUCUCUCUCUCAUUUCCCUCUUUUCUCUGAUCUUCUCUUGCAGCAGCAGCGAUCGGAGGCUGCUCCAAUCGGCAACUCUCUCUCUCCCCUCGUCUCUUCUCUUUCUCCCCUUCUUUUUCUCUGUCUCCUUUUUCUCCUCAUUUGACCAGCAGCUAGCGAGAACCACCAGCGACCAAUAGCGAGUAGCUCCAACAAACUACAGCUCCAGCCAGCAACCGCGAGGGAGAACAACGAGCCACCAACAGACAACAACAGCCAGCGAAAGCCAGCUCCAACUCCGGCAAAUGCUGCUCCGGCCAAUGAACUAGCGAUCUCCGGCGAAGUUUUGAAAGUUUCAAGCGGGUCAAAAGACGGAUCUGUUACAGAUCCAUCCGGGUACAUUUCUUUUUAAAUUAUUACCUCAUCUUUUGGCAACUUUGUUCUUAUUUUCAGUUACAAGUUGGCUAUUCAUGCUCUGUAUAUGUGAAAACCAUUUCAAUCUCAAAUUUAAUUACUAUCUGCUAUUUUAUGAUCUUAUUCAUGUUUUGCAAAUUUUCUGAUUUUGUGUGUUGCUAAAAUAUUAUUCAUGUUGACUUAGAAUGUCAAUAUACCUCUAUGUUACCUACUUCUCUAUAGUUAUUAGUACAUUAUGGAUUUUAAAUAUUGUUGGAACUGUUGGUUCUUGAUUUUUAGUUGAUAAGUUGGAGUGAUAAUUGAUGCCCUUAAUUGGUUGUUUCUUUAGCUAAAAUUUGGUUCAGCUUCAAAAUGUUAAAAUAGGGAUUGCAUGAUUUGUGACUUGUGUAUUUAGAAUCUGUUUAAAUUGUUAUUUGUUUGUAUACGGUAAAAAAAUAUAUGAGAAAAUGUAUAUUUGGAACUUGAUUUGAGUUGUGAUAUUGUCCUUCCUAAAAUAAUACUAUUCCUUUUGGUGGAUUAUGUGCAAUAUUGAUUGGCGGUGUUAAUUGAUAUUAUGUACCUUAUUUAUGUGUAAGCAGAUUUCUUACUUGUUUAUAUUUAGUAAAAAUAAAUUAAAAAUUGAUUUGGCUCUCCUUUAAAAUAAGGAAAAUGUGUUAAUUGAUUCCUUUCUAUUUUCAUUUCCCUUAAUUACUGGCCCUUCCCUCAUUAUAAAUAAUCCCCUUUCAGUCUUUGGAAUCACUGACCUACACAUCCUGACUUUGAUCAUACUCGAAUAAAAAAAAUUAUUGCUCUCUAUUCUUAAAAGAAUUAAGAUUUUGGUAAACAUUCUAAAGUGCUGCUUUACUCGAUUUUUGCUGUGUUCGGAUCUAGUAUCGAAUCAAAUUGGGUCUUCAUUGCUGAUAAAUUUUCUGCAUAAUUGGUUAGCCUUUCUUCAUUAGUUUAAAUUUCGUUUUGCAUUAUUUCAUUAUGAAUGUUGUGUUGUGUUUGAAUAAAACAAAGGAAGCACUCAGGUUUGUUUCCUAUCCCUCAUUCCUUAAUGUGCUUUGAUAUGACUAUGUGUUUUCUUUGAAUAACUUUAUGAUUCUACCCAUAUAAUUGACCUUCUUAUAUAAUAUUUGCUUUUGUUAUAUUUAUAUGUAUUUGUAGUAUUCCUUUCUUGUGGUUUAGCAGGGUUGAACUAGAAGUUCAAGGUAUGAAGAGUCGUCAUGGAAGGGAAAAUAAUAGACGAUGAAUUUAUUUAAUUCGUGUUUUGUAUAUUAUCUAAUUUCUGUUAUUCGGUUUGUAAUAUUUGUAUAACUCUAACUCUAGUAUAUAUGUGAAAUAUUUGGGGAUCGUCUAAAGGGGAGGGGAUUUAUGUGCUACUUGUUUAUUUUAUCAUAACUUAUUUGUGUUAGAAAGCAUGCCUAUAGUUUCGUGAUUUGUUCGGUAGUUCAUAUUUAGAAACUUCACUUUAGAUCUAAUUAAAAAAUAAAAUUGAAUUGUUAUUGCCAUUAAUCACCUAUUAAAUCUUGUUUAACUAUAUUUUAAAGUUGAUCAUGUGCUUAGAUAUUUUAAUUGUUCAUCAUAGUACACCUAUUUGAUUUGCACGACUAUUUCUUAAUUUGGUCAUUAAAAUAACUUUGGUUGUUCCUUGUUUUAUUAAUUAAAUCAAUUUCUUUUUAUAGUAAUUUAAGAGUAAAAUAUUAAUUGAUAUUCAACAAUCUUGUAUUAGUCAAUCUGUUAGAUAUUAGGCUCAUAUAAGAUUUAGUCAAAAUUGAUUAGACUUGAUCAAUCAGUCUUUAAUAGCUUGGUGUAUUAAUUAAUUAAUUGGUUUUAAUAACCUCGGCAUGUUAAUCAAUUAACUUAAAUAAUCCUUUUGUAAUUGUAAAUUUAUAAUCAACUAAUUUUUUAUCUGAUAAGGGCUGUUGUAUUAAUGGCAAUUCAGUAUAUGAUUAAUUUGCAGAAUGAUUAAUUGAUUAGAUUCUAAUAAACUCGAGUAAAUCAAUAAUCAGGCUAGUUUAUAGGAGCUUAUUCACUUUAAUGUGUUAAACAGUAUGGAGAUUUUAAAACUGGAAAUCUAAACUGCAUUUACUACUGCCCGUUUGACCAGCAUGUUUAAUAAUUAAUCUCUUCUACUACUUAAAAAUCAGUUAAUGAUAUUCCUUUGCUGCGUGCCUCUUCUUAAAAUCUGCUACCCUAGAUAUCUGUUGCCCCGAGUAAUUCUUGUCUAAUAAUAAUUAACUUCUGCAUUAAUAAACCGCUUUGCCACUUAAAAUAAUUUUUGUAUUAAUAAUAAAAUCUGUUAAUGCUAUGAAACUUGUUUUCAUUCUGUGAUGACCUUUCUACUAUAUUUUAAAACCAAGUAAUAAAAUCUACAUUUUUGUAAUAACUUUCUACCACCCUUAAUAUUGUAAUCGUGCUGUUGUAUUGCCUGCUACAAUACUGUUAUUCUUGUAUGGACACACUGAGCAUGAAAUCCUUUCACAUUACUUGUGUUUGCUAGUAUGUUAAUAACCUAAUCUAGAGGCCAACAUGAGAUUUACGUGAUAAGUGUUGCCCUAUUUGUUUUGCUUGGUGUCUAGGUGGGCCUACUAGGAACUUUUAUUGUAUUUUUAGUCUAAAACCCCCUAAUAGUAGUCCAAUUCCUCUUGGACCUUAAGCAGGGACGCUAGGCACCUUUUAGAGACGAAAAACAUGCAGAAGGUGGGGUAGGGGUAGUUUAGGCCCUACGGAGAUGAUGACAUCGACUCAGGCUUAAAGCGACAAACCUUGGUUUUGUCUGUCCCUACACAGAAGCCUUUCGAAAAAAUAAAGAAAAGUCGAGUGUUGAUCUGUAAAGUCCUACCGAGUCUCCCUCUCCUUUUGUCCCUUUAUUUAUUUAUAACUAUAAUUGUUUGGGGUAGCUUAAAUAAAAUAUAAAAAUUGUCUGUCUAUCUGUUUGUGUAAUUUCUGUCUCAUCGCUUAUCUCUUUAUUAAUUGUUUAAUAUUUAUUUGUUACUAUGUUAUCACUUAGUCUUGCAUUCUUAACUAAUUAAUUAAAAUAACUAAAGUGCCCUUAAUUGUUAAAUAUUAUGUUAUCACUUAGUCUUGCAUGCUUAACUAAUUAAUUAAAAUAACUAAAGUGCCCUCAAUUGUUAAAUAUUAUGUUAUCACUUAGUUUUGCAUGUUCAAUUAAUUAAAUGAAUUAAUCUUAAUUGUUAAAUAUUAUGUUAUCACUUAGUAAGCAUGUUUAAGUUAAAUAACUUAAAUAAAUGACGUGACCAUACUUGCUACUUGUAACCCUACAUAAAUUGCACGAGAUACGGUCGGGACCCACAUUUGUGGACCUCGAAGGAUGUCUAACACCUUCCCCUCGAGGUAAUUUAAACCCUUACCCGAUCUCUGGUUCAUUGACCUUUAGUUAGAUUUAGCUAGGUUAGAUAGGUGCCCUAACGCUCCUUAAUUCGUUAAGUGGCGACUCUCCAAUCACCCAAAGCCCAAAAGAGUUGUUAGGUCGUGCACCCAAAACUCGUUUUGCGAAAAACGGGGUGCGACAAUGCCUCUGCAGGUAUAGAUCUAGUGGCCACAACUUCCUUCUGUUUCUUUUCUGCCUGGUCUUUAAGAUAUUCAGCUUCGAUCUUUCGGAUACUGGUGGAAAUAGUGGCAGCCAAUUCCACAUCUUUCGUUGCAUCUCCAGGCACCUAAGCCCUUUUGCAUAAUUCAUUGAUUAAUACCGGGAAAGUAAGAGAUGUCUGGCCCUGCUUUGCACGCGUAUGGAUUUCAGAGGAAAUGAUCUUCCCAAGAUUUAUCCUGGUUUUCUCCAUGAUGCAUUCAAGACAAGCUGCCUUAGCAUGACGAAGGAUUGAUUUAUUCUGUGAUGGCAUAACUGUGUUGCUGAUGAAUCUGAACUAGUAUCGUGCAACUAUGUUCAGAUUUUUCUUCUCAAUUGGAACUCCUUCUGCUAACCAUGUUGGAGCAUUAUCAUCUGAGACUAGUGGAGCUAACCACUUUUUCAUUGCAUCCAGCUUUUGUGUCCUGAUCAAGUGCUGGCAGUGGUCAUUAGUCUUAUCUGUCAUUCCCAAAGCUCUGUUGAUAGUCUUACUGUCACAGGAUACCUUCUUUCCUCGGACAACCACGUAGUCAACUGCUUUAAAAUAUGAGACUAGCCUUUUUCGUUGAGGUACUAAUGCACUGUAUGCGUCGUAGAACUCUCUAACCCAGCUUGGUAUGUAAGAGCCGCGAUGUCUUGUGAAGAUUUGGAAUUUGUGGUAUUUUAAGCACUCCAUCACUUCUGGAUACCUAUCAAUAACCUCAUCUAUGGAAAGUCGUUUCUCCCCAAUGAUCGUUCUCAGAUCAUCAGCCUUUGAUUUAUUCAUUGAUCCAUGUUUGGGGCUUUGUACUGGAUGUGCCAUCACUAAUGCUUGCCCUGAAGUUGAAGGAGUUAGAGUGGUGGGUUGGUUAUCUCUGAUCCGAUAUGGAUCAGAGAUCAUUUUGGAUCGUAACUUAGCCCUCCUUGCCUCUAUUUGGUAAUCCUCGUCAGACUCUACACUCUCACUGUUAUAUGUGGGUGGCUCGAUGGCGUAGAAGCAUGUGCUGUCAGAGCUUGCGUCGGAUAAUUCGAGGGCUUUACCCUUCCCCUUGCUUUUUGAAAUUAUGGUAGCCUUGCCCUUGGGUGGAGGUGUAUUUUCUCUAAUCACGAUUCCUUUCUCUCUUUCUCUAGUCGGUUGUUUGGCCAUAUUUGCAAAACGUUAGAGAGAAUAGUGAGUGAUUACACUGUAACACAUAAUUUCAGACAGACUCACUGAUCUAAUCAGCGAAUCGCCAAACCUCUUUGGCGAUCAUAAAUAUGUCCGCCAAAAGUUAUAGAACCCACAACACUUAAGAUAAGAAUUUAAAGGCGCUUUAGGUGUAGGGGGUGAACCGCUGAGUGAUUCGGCGAGCUCAACUCAGCUCGCCGACUGACUUAACGUGCCUGAGAUUUAACUUACUUUUUCAAAAUCGAUCGUACAAACCUCAAAAGCAAAAUUAAACCAACAUUGAUAAAAUUUAGCCCAGAAUCAUAGCACCCAAUCAUGGUCAACACCCGUUAUGCACAGUUUUCCACAUUAAAAUUCAAGGUGAGCAAAGCGAAAAAAGAAGUCGAAAAGUAAAAGCAAAUAGGCCCCAACUUACAAAACAGAAGCAGGUACUCGAAAAUAUCUACUCAUAUCAAAGAGAUUUAACACGCAUUAGUGGACUCCUAGGUUACAGAUGAGGUUUAUCUUUUCAAGAGUUGAUGAAGAGUUUUAGAAACUAACCUUUUCGCUGAGUAAACAAAGUUGUAAUGCUAGGCGACAAUGAAAAUCUGAGGUCCAAGCACUAAUUCGCUACUAAAAUACUAAUUUAAAGUGAGAAAAUAUAAAUUGCUACCUGGGUGUGAAGUUAUGAAGUUUGAAAGUAAGAAAGAAUGAAGAAAUGUGACUAUUGGCCAUAUAUGUUGUUCAAUCUGUGUCCAUUCGGCGACGUUAGUCGCACUCGCCAACCUACUCAGUGAAUCGCUGAGUGGGCAUUUAUUCAGCCCUUUCUUCAGAAAUCUUCAAUUUUCAGUGGGUGACUUCGACGGUCUAUAUCGAGAUCGCUAAACUUAUUAGCGAUGUGCCGAGUUGCUUUUCGAGUCCACCGAGUUUUACAGGCUCUGUACAAUUUUUGUGUUGAGCCAAACGACAGAUCCAGUCUGGCUCGCUGACCUGUUUGGCGACUCGCCGAAUGGACUUUCUGCUCGCCAACCUAAAAUUUUGCACACUUCCCUGUUUCAACCUGCAACACAACACACCAUUAUUUCUAAAAGUAAAAUCCUAAUCGUUUAAGGCCUUGGGUUGCCUCCGAAGAAGCGCUUUAUUUAUCGUCGUGGCACGACACAAAUCGUUGCUCAAGUUUCGUUGUUGGGAUUGGCCAGGUCCUCAUUAGGCCACCCCUUAUUUUCCUGCUGAUGGAGUUGAGACAUCGCAUUACUCAUCGGGUCCUCUAGCAGUUGGACACCUUUUGAAUGAGACCAAAUCAUCCACUUCAUUCCUUCAAUGUCUUCCUUCAUUCUUUUCAGCUCUCUAUCUUGCUCAAUCACCUUAUGGAGAAUGAUUGAGAGCAUUUCCCCAAGGCGUUUAACCUCAUUGUCCUUGAGACUUUUUCGUUCAUGAGGAGGGAUGUAUUUAUCCUUUCUCUUACACUGGAUUUCGAUCUUCACCAUCUUUUUAGCCAACUCAUCCAUCUGAGUCAUCAGGGCGGCCAACAUGAAGUCUUUUUCUACUUUUAGGUUCGUUUCAGCCAUUUGAUUAAACAGUUGGGUUGCUAUCCCAUAUGGUUGUUUUGCAAUGCCUCCCGGAAUGAGUUGGUCGACCAACCUCUUGUUUCCAGGAUCAAGACUUCUAUAGAAACCGUCAAGGAGAGCUAUGUCGGGAAUGUCAUGAUUUGGGCUUUGAUUGAUCAGUUCCUUAAACCUUGCCCAUGACUUGUGGAUCCGUUCACCCUCCAAUUGCUUGAAGGUGAGGAUACGCUUCCGGAAUAUCAUUACCUCUACUGAAAGAAACUCCAUUAGUUCCCGAGUGCUGCCAUACUCAUUUAAAUGGACAAUUUAACGAAAAACAAAACUAAAAGUAAAGUUAGUGAACUACAACUAAGAAGAAUAAAAAUUCUAUUAAUCUAAAAAUUCUCAAAUAACACCACUCCCCGGCAGCGGCACCAUUUUGAUGCUUAUCGUGACCAACGACACUAACCUACGGUAUGAGUGUUUACGAUCGUCGAUAGUAUAGUAACCCAACUAAAGGUGGGGUUGUGUCCCAAGGGAGUGGUUUUUGAGAAUUGAUAGAAAAAUAAAAUUUAGCUCUAACUAGUCAUAGCUAAAGAUAUUAACGAAUAAAAACAUGGUAAAUAAAAGGGGUGAAACGAAAGUGUCAAAUAUCAAUUUUGGGGUUUUGUUACAAGUAGUAAAAGCAGCAAAAAUUAACAAGAAAAUCAAGUAUGGGGGAAAUAUUCUUGGGGUGUGAUCACAAUACAAGUUGAGAUAAAUAGUUGGGUACAUGCUUUUGACAAGAAAUUUGUAAGAUAAUAGUGACUAGGCUAAGCUUUAAAUGGAAAUAAGUUCCCUCUUGGGCAACGUACCCCGUUUCAAAUGCGUUUUUCUCGGACACCCAUUUGUAGCAUGAAGUCCAGCCUAUGCCUUACCCCACUCACUUUCUCGAACUGAGUGUUAGGAUAUGGGACUAGGGCUCACCAUAUCGAGCUAAACCUCAUGUCGACCUACUUUAUAGGCAAUCAGUCUAGUGGUCUUGGUUUCGCGACCUCUCUCUCGGGCAAGCCAAAAACACUUGGGUGACUUUGUAUUUGCAACUACAAACCAUUUAGAUUAAACCACAACUACUAGGUGAAAUCACGAUUAAACUACAUCUAACCUAUUAGCAAGCAAGACCCAACAAUAAUAUCAACACAUAUUUGCUAAAUCACACCCUAAGAAUGGGGGGUUUUAGCCACACAUCAAGAAAUAACAAAAUACACCUAAAAUGAUAGUAAAAUCAAAUGGGUAUAAGAAAUUAAACCUUAAUUUAAGCAAAGGAAGAAGAAUAGAGAAGACUCACUUCCAACUUGGGAAAGGUGAACGCCUUUCUUUAAGUUCCCAAAAACCCUCUCUAAACUUGAGAGAAAAUGUCUAAAAAGUACUAUUCUAUUCUGGAAAUUAAAAUAAAAGUUUGACUCCUAAAAAUAAUAAUAAGUUCAGUAUUUAUAGACUUCAGAAAAUAGCGUUGGCGGAUCUUUCGGCGAAGUUAGUCAAUGUCGCCGAAUAACUUCAACAACUCGCCCUUUGUCUAUCUCAUCGCUGUUUCGUGCUUACCUUCAGCACCUUCACGUUCUGGACCAUUGGGAGGUAUAGUACUGCUUCACGGAACUAUUCGGCGAAGCGCCGACUGCUCCUUUCAUCACUUUUUUUAUCCUUCUCCUUCAGGGCUUCGCGUUGGAACAAAGGGCAGAGUCAAUCCCUUCGACGAAUCGCCAAGUGUGCUUGGCGAUGCUCGGGUUUCAGCUUCGUCGUUCUUUUCAGCUCUUUUGUUCCUUUUUGCGCCUAAGUGUCCAUGCUUUCACUAAAACUUCAAAUACUUAAAACUUAAGAAUUUUCAUCAGAUAUUUAGACAAAAUAAGCAUUCAAGGACACUAUUCUUAUCAAAAUAAAGCCCUAAAUGAGUCCAAUUUGUGGACUCAUCAGAAAUAAUGUGAAGCUAGAAGUCAAAGGGAUAGGCACUUGCAAAGUAGACUUGUGUGGUGUCCAUUCUUUGAUGUUGCAUGACGUCCUAUAUGCCCCAGAGAUUCGACGAAACUUAGUAUCUAAGUUUGUUCUUUUAGACGUUGGUUUGAUUUGUUUUUUAGUCGUAAUGGUGUUAGAAUAACUCUAGCUAAUGUUUUAUAUGGUUUUGAACUUCGUUAUGACCGUUUUUCAUAUUAGAUUGUAAUCCUUCAACUUAUGACUAUUAUGUUGACCGUUGUGUUAUGACAUGUUAUUCAAGUAACAAUGAUAGUGAUGUUAUUACAUGGCAUGCAAGAUUAGGUCACAUAGGGCAAGAUCAAAUGAAUAGGUUGGCAAAAGAAUGUCAUUUAGGUUCUUUCACCAAGAUUGAUAUGCCAACUUGUGAAAACUGUCUUGCUGGUAAGAUUACGCAUAAACCAUUUGGAAAGGCUAAAAGAGCUGAGUUCCCGCUUCAAUUAAUUCACUCUGAUAUUUUUGGUCCAAUGAAUGUGAAGGAAAGGUCUGGUGCUACAUACUUCAUUAUAUUUAUUGAUGAUUUCACGCGCUUUGGCUAUGUCUAUUUGAUUUCUCAUAAAUCUGAAGCACUUGAGUGCUUUAAAAGAUAUAUGAAUGAAGUUGAAAAUCAAUUAGAUAAAAGCAUAAAGGUUUUAAUAACUGACCGAGGACGUGAAUAUUUGUCAAAAAAAUUGAAGAAUUAUGUACUGAAAAGGGUAUUAUCAUACAGUUAACUACUCCUUAUACACCUCAACAAAAUGGUGUAGCUGAAAGAAGGAAUAGAACAUUGUUGGACAUGACGAAGAUUAAUGAUGGCGCAUGCAAAUUUGUCUAUCUCUUUCUGGGGAGAUCCAUUAUUGAUUGCAGUUUACAUAUUGAACAAAGUGCCUUCUAAAUCAGUGUCUUCCACUUCUUAUGAACUUUGGACUGGUCAUAAAACAAACUUAAAUGAUCUUCGACCGCGGGGGUGUGCAACAUACAUUAAAGAUCAUUUUGGUGAGUUUGAUAAACUAAAUCCAAAAGGAAAAAAAUGUAUCUUUAUAAGGUACUCUGAACGCUCCAAAGGGUAUGUGUUCAUCGAUGAACUGGAGAAUGGAAGUAUUAUUGAAAUUGUAUCACGAGAUGCCAGAUUUUUGGAAAAUGAUUUUCCUAAAAAGGGUGAAAUAGAUGAAGUUGAGCCUCUGUACGAAAUGUUGAAUUCAAAAGAUCAGGUAAUGUUGUCAAACAUACUUGAUAAUUCAAUGGAUCAAGAAAUGAUUCUUGGUCCAAGUGGGAGUUAUGCAUCUCAAAGUCUUAUAAAUGAAUUUGAACUUCAAAUACGUAAAAGUACAAGAAAAGGUGUACCUAAACAAUCUUAUGAGAUUAAGGAUCAUGUUUUCUUGGUAUCUCCUAUAGAAUUGGAUAAACCUAAUUUUGUAACUGAGGCAUUAUCGAGCCCUGAAAGUGAUGAAUGGUUAAAAGUGAUGAAAGAAGAAUUAGAGUCCAUGAAAAUCAACAAAGUCUGGGAUCUAGUUGACAUUCCCAAGGAACGUAAAGCUAUUGGGAAUAAAUGGAUUCUCAAAGUUAAACGCAAAUCGGAUGGGCCAAUAAAAAGACACAAAGAAUGAUUGGUGGCAAAAGGUUUUACUCAAGAAAUUGGAAUAGACAAUGAGGAAACUUUUUCACCAGUUGUGAAGUUUACCUCUAUACGAUUACUUUUAGCUAUUGUUGCACGUUUAGAUCUAGAUUUACACCAAAUGGAUGUGAAGAUCGCUUUUCUCAAUGGAGAAUUGAACGAUACAAUCUACAUGGAACAACUAGUAGGUUUCGUUGUUAAAGGUCAAGAAAAGAAAGUUUGUAAAUUGAAAAGAUCAACUUAUGGCCUAAAGCAAUCUUCAAGGCAGUGGUACCUGAGAUUUCACAAGGAGGUGAUGUCAUUUGAUUUCACCAUGAUCGAUGAAGAUCAUUGCAUCUAUGUGAAAAAGUCCAAUGAAAAUUUUGUAAUUCUUUCUCUUUACGUAGAUGAUAUUUUAUUAAUAAUUUAGAGUAUGUGAAAAUUGUCAAGUCAUGGCUUUCAAAAUCAUUUGAUAUGAAAUAUAUGGGUGAAACGGACUAUAUAUUGGGUGUUAAGAUCUAAGGAGAUAGUUCUAAGAAAUUUUUGAGUUUAUCUCAAGAAACUUAUAUAAAGAAAACAUUGAAACGUUUUCGAAUGAAUAGGUGCAAAUACAUGGAUACUCUUGUAGCAAAAGGUGAAACUUUAAGCCUUGAAAUGUGUCCAAAGAGUGAAAAAAAAGGAAGACAUGUCUCAAGUUCCUUAUUCUAGUGUUGUCGGGAGUUUGAUGUAUGCUAUGAUGUGUACUCGCCUAAACAUUUGUUAUGUUGUGAGUCUAGUUAGCAGGUAUCAAUCCAAUCCUGGAAGAGAUCAUUGGAAAGUUGUAAAGAGAAUAUUCUGAUACUUGAAGGGAACUGCAGAUCAUGCACUUUGUUAUAGUGGAUCUGAUUUAGUCAUAAGAGGUUAUAUAAAUGUUGAUUGGGCUGGUGACCGAAAUGAUAGAAAAUAAACAUCUUGUUAUGCUUUCUUACUAAAUGGUGGUGCUAUUUCAUGGAAAAGUAAGAAGCAAACUUGCACAACUCUUUCAACCAUGGAAUCUGAAUUCGUGGCUUGUGCGUCUGCAGUACAAGAAGUUGUUUGGUUAAAGAGAUUCUUUGAGCAUUUCAAUAUCGCAAAGAAUUCUAAGGGUCCCAUGAUUCUAUAUUGUGAUAGUCAAGCGGCUUUCGCAUAUACGAAGGUACCUAAAUAUCACAGUAAGAUCAAACACAUUGACAUCAAGUAUAACUUUUUGAGAGAUGUAGUGGCAAGUGGAAAAAUAACUUUGCAAUACAUUCUGACACGUGAAAUGAUAGUUAAUCCUUUUACGAAGGCCAUUUCUAGAGACAUGUUUGAAAAACAUGUUAAGGCUCUAGGUUUGCGUAGAAUAUGAUGAUAUUUCUGUAUUGUAAAAUAACUUGAUUGUUAUAAUAUUCUCUUCUAUAUAAUACUAUUGGAUUUAUAUUCAAAUAUGAUAUGCAUGUGAUAAUUUGUAAGAUAUAAAGUGUGUCGAACAAGUCCCGAGAUUGGCUCUCUCACAUGAGCAAUCGCCUCUUACGUUGGGGAGCGUGAAGAGAUGCGUUUCACCACCAUAUUAUGACUUGUUUUAUGAUCCAGAUAAAAGUUUCUUUAAGAAAAUGAGUUUAAGCAUCACUGAAGAGAGAAACUAGGGUUAAACAUCUGGAGGUGUUAAGACCAAGGUCUGUACGAUGUUGAAUAAUCGAAAGAAUGGACACAUACACCAAUCUAAGGUGUAAACAUUGUACCACGUGUUUCAUACCACGUGUGUCAGGAGAUCAAUGGGUCAAUGAAAACAUGGGUCCCUGCUUCUUCAUUGUGUGAGACCCCGAAAAGUUAAAAUGACUUUUCAAUGAAAUAUCCUUUGACCUUUUACUGUUUCUUGAAGUUUCGAUCGGUGUUGCUACUUUAGCAUGUUACUAAUAGUCAUGAGCGAUUCAGCAAUGCAGUACAUGUCUUGGAAAGCAGUGGAUAUGGAACAGAUAAAUUCGAGUAGAAAGGGAAGAUAAUUAAAUGAACAAUUCAACUUGUAUACAUAAGCCGGCUAUUACACUCGAUUGUAAUUGUGUGUAUAAAGUUAAACAUGAACUCGAAUUCACCUCUUUAAGAGGUUGAGGGAUCGAAUAAGUAACUACUGAAGUAGUGAAUGACGUCUAGGGUAUUGUGAGUAAUAGUGUCCUUAAAAUAGUAGUGAAUUCUUUCCACAUGUGAUUGGAUUCCUAUGUAGGGCUUGUAAAACCUUAAAGGUAAGCUCUUCAUGCUCACAAGUCGCACGAACUAUUUGUCGUAUGAAUUGUGUGUCAAUUGAUAUUGUGUUGACUUGGGUCUUGUCCACUAUGUGCGAAGUGGGAGAUGUAAGUUUUGGGUCGUGGGUCACCCAUGUGGACCGACCCGACGCGAUCCAACCCAAGAUUUUUUUUUUUGAAUAAUAAUAAUAAUAAUAAUAUAUAUAUAUAUAUAUAUAUAUAUUAAUUUAAAAAGGGGUGGACUGUUCUAACGUUAAUAUGCUCUCCUUUUUAAAUCAAGUUUUUCUUUCUUUUACGCUUGUUAUGAGAAAAAACAAGAACAACAAAAAACACAAAAGAGAAUAAGAAAAUCUUCUUAGAUUAACGACACACAACAAAAAGAACAUUUAGUUUGUGAAACACUAUCUUUGUUUCCUAGUGAUUCAAAGAAGGAUUUGGAGCAAAUCAUUCAGUUCGUGAAUUUCAUUCUGCUGCAUACAACAAUCAAAGGUACAUGCACAAAUCUUGUACCAAACGUUGUUUAAAUUCUUUCACUUUUCAAGGAUCAAAUCUCUUGAUUACCAUCUUUUCUCAAAAGACCUUCAAGCUAACCAUAUAUUUUUAUAAGAAGUCUUUAAUGAAAAAAGAAGAUAUCAACACUUCUGACCCAACUUACAAGCUUUGUCAUACUUUUAGCAAAUAUUUUUUUUUCCCAGUGAAUUACUGUGUAUUUAACAAAGUGAAGAAAGAAAAAUAUUAGUAUUAGUAAGGCAUUGUAUCAAAAGACUGAAAAAAGAAAAAAAACGAGUGUAGACGUAGAAAUUAUACUCGACACGCACUGUACAAGUUAUACUCAAAAGCUAUAUAUUGGACUAAUUAGAGUCAUUUUGGAUCCCAAUCAUUAUAAAAAUAUUUGUUGCUAAAUUUUCUUUCAACACUUUACUGUUUUCAAUAACUGUUUAAUGUUUUUCUGUUAAAUAGUUGACUACUAGAAAUAGAAAAUUGAUUGAAAAAUUAUUUUUUUCUUAAAAAAAAAAAGAUGAUGAAUGCAUCCCUCCUUUACACUUUCAAUUGCUAUCAUAGCAAGUUUCAUAUCUAUUUGUUUUAUUAUAGCAAGUGAGAAAAGAUUAUGUCUUAACAAAUCACCAAUGCAAUACUAUUCCAAGAAGAAACUUCAUAACUUAGCCCCUCUUUACUUUAGUGAAAAAUAUUUCUCGCACUGAAAAGUAAGAAUGAAGACAUUCAUCAAGUCAUAUGAUGUUUACAUAUAAAGAGUCAUUAAGCUUUAAGUUAUUACUAUUCUCCUUACUAAGAAAGAUGACAAAAGAGUAAUGAAAGACAAGCAUUAACAGUAGCACAAGUUUGGAGAACUUAUCAUUCAAACAAUAUUAAUAAUGAAAUUCUUCAGGAGAUCUAGAAAUCACAAAAGAGGUAGUAAAAUUUUUCAAAGAAAACAAAAGUGAUGAUCAAAAUAAAAAUGAGGAAAAAUGCUAUAACUAUGAAAAAUAUGAACACAUUGAUAAUGAUUACACUGAAGCAAAGAAAAUAUACUCUUAAGAAAUAUCAAAGAAAUAAAAUAUUCAGCAAUUGAGUGAUAAAGAUGACUCAAAAGAUUAAAAUGAUGAAACUGAAAAAUGUCUGUGUCAUGGCAGCUGAAAAAUCAAGUGAGGUAAGAUCUUGAAAAGAAUAAAUUAAAGAAAGGCAAAAAAAAAAACUUGAAGAAAAUGAGCAUAAAGAAGGAAGUUGCAACGUUGGAGCCUUGGAGGAUAACAUCUCAAGGGAAUGUCAAUUCCUAAUAACUGAACAACAAUAACAACAUACUCGAUGAAAUUCCACAUGUGAGGUCUCAAGAGGGUGGAGUGUACACAACAGAUCAUAACCCUACCUCGUGGAGGUAAAGAGAGUGUUUCCGGAGGACCCUCGGUUCAAUUAUAACAUAUCAAAAUCAGACCAAUCGGCUCUAGCAGACAACUCACAUUCUUUUAUUCUCUUCUUUUUCUUCACGUUUCUCUGAUUUCCAGAAAACGGCGAAGAUUCGACUGGGUGCAAAUUGAUACUUCAAAUUACAGGGCGAAAAAAUGCAUCAUUAUACAAGUGAAGUUUAUUUACUUACAAAACAGUACACACAUUUGGACUAACAACAAAAUGAUAGCUAUAGCUUUCUGUCUCUCGGCAAAAUAAAAAAUUGGCUUCCCAGUUCUAUUACAAAGAAAAAACGCCACUGCAAUACCUGUGCAAAUUAAGAAAGUUAACAUGAGAACAACAAUAUUCAAAAGAUAGGGAUAAACCCUUUUCACUGCAAUAGGUUUACUGGGAAGUGUAACUUCUAUACACAGUGCGCGAAAGAAAUUUCAAUGAAAUUCGUAACCUGAAAAACAAGGUGGAUUGUACUUGCUACAAUAGGUUAAAAUAUAUAUAUAUUUAGGGCCAGAUAUAUGCAAGUUAAAUCCUAUUGGAAACAUAAGAAAACAGGGAGCUCAUAGAGAACUUAUUGAUGCACAUGUAGGUUCAAAAUAUCCUUGUGAUUUCGAAAGUACUUCGUUAGAACUUAGAAGUGAAAAUUUUCAGUAAAUAUGAUUUUGGCUUGGAAACUUGGCUGGUGGAGAUUUUACCUGUCACUGAACUUUUCAACAGCCUCAGAAGCGUAAAGAAGGGUUUCAUUGGCUUUCUCAAGUACCAUAUAAAGCUCCUUUCCUCGUGUCAACCGAGAAAUCACCCAAGCACCAUUUUUUGCUCUAAUGCAUAUUUCUUGGUCUUUCUCGCAGUCAGAGCCAUCACAUUUAACUCUGCUCUUUUCUAAGUCAACCUCUUCUCGAAGCUUACUCAUUGCAACUAAAGAAUCCUGCACACGUAAUCAAACUUUUUAGAGUAACAGUUAAAAUCUAAUAUUACAGUACACAAACCUGAUCACCAUGGCUAAAUCAUCCCAUGAGAAAAGAACAUUACCAAUUCAUGAUUAACUCUCAUUAAGCAAAUGUUUUGUGAACUUAACAAGAAACUGGUCACCUGGUAAAUGUUCAGUAACACAGGCACUCAUGCAACAAGGAAAACGUCAGGAAGUUAUAUUCAACAUGUACAGAGAGUGUGUAUCAUCACUUUGACAAAAAUAUUGAUUGAAAGGUAAUUGGGGCUUAAUAGGUCACCUAAUACAAGAACUCUAGGAGCAGAUUUUGGUUCUAUACAUCUUUAAAACAAGCUACCAAAUAGAUGUUUGUCAAUAAGUGGAUGAGAGUCUUCAAAAUAACAAGCAACCAAGCACCGAAAUAUGCGGACUGUGUGGUAGCCUAUCUUUUCUUUUCUAAUUUUCAGUUUUACUCGCUUGUGGUAGAUAGCUCAUACUAAGAGUGCAAGGUAGCCAAAAAACUCAUUAUGAGCCACACGCAAAAACCUAAGCAUCAUGGAAGCAACAACAAACAGCUCACUUCCAAAGGAAGCUAACAAGAAGUCUCCAACAUAUCAAAUUAUAUGGGCCCCGAAAUGCAACUUAUCCAAAAAUACAAAACCCCAAAAUCAAUGUAAAUUCACUUUACCAAUACUUAAUUUUGUACAAGCUUUCCAACAGCAAGCACAAAAAGAUGCAAUUUAGUUCAGCUAUACCCAUACAAUUAUAACUCCAAUAAAUGUCUUGUCUUCAAAAUUUCAAUAGUACUGAGAUUCUAAAAGCUUUGACAACCAAAAUAAGGAAAAAGGAACUGAUCUAACCUUUGUAAGCGUUGUUACUUUUCCAGGUGGGGAUGCCCGAGAAAUGUAUUUAUCACCAUCCACAAGUAAGUAGCGGUAACCACUCACAUGAUAUGCAUUCUCGCCACCCCAUCCUCGGGAUAGUUUCUCUUCAACUUUGAAUAUCUUGGGUGAGGCCUAAAAUUACAAGAUAUGUCAUUAACUAACCAAUAUAAUAAUUCCAUCUAUCACAAUUAUGCUCGCCAAAGGACUAUUAAUCUCAAAAGCAGAGAAUAUUUUCAGCAAACGAAAAUGGGAAGGGAAAACCCACGGAGAACACAAAGAAACAUAAUGUUGAUAAAAGCACUAUGAUUGAUAUUUAUUUCAGUUAUUUUCACUUGAGCUAGUAUCUUUGUUUUCUGUUUUUCUUCUCAGGGAACUUAGCAGAAACUUCUUGCAUCAAGUGGUUAUCACUUCUACCUGUGCCCACUCGACUUAUGAGGAGUCAAACCAAGACUAGCUUGGUUAGUAACCACUACGAGCCACUAUUUAAAGUCUUCUAAGAAGGCCUGUAAAACCUAGAGCAACAAUAUACAGAUCGGAUAUGUAUUUGUCAACUAAAUAAGGCACGAAAACAACCAAGGAAAGAAACCCAGUACAGUGAGCUUCUUAAUAAGGAAAUGUCGAGUUUAGAAUACAAUUAAGUUGAUGCUAUUUUUAAGUUUGUCAACUAAAUAAAAUAUAGACGAGGCUUAAGCAGUUAUCUCCUUUCCUAGACAAAAGAAUUCACAAGAGAAAAAACAUGGGAUACAAAAUGUCUAGGACUGACCCUACUUUAGUACACCAAGGAAUUGAGUUAAUAACCAAACUUAAUUACGUCAGAAUGAUUAAGUAGUUUGUAAAUUCUAAUUUUGACAAGGGUAUAUUAUAUAUUUCCUUCCGUUCUAUAUUUGCAGUCAGAUUGACCUAAUGUGUGAGUUUGAACCCAUAAUAAAAUGCCAGAUUGCACAUACUGAAACAAAAAUGAAGAAUUGGUGGGACGAUUUACAAUCCAUGACAGUUCAAACUUCCAUGAGAUACACAGGCCUGGGAGUUGCUGUAGAUCGCCAUGAAGGAAAACUUUUAAUCUAUUGCCAAUAUAAACUGAAAAGAGUUCCAACUUUCCUGCUCAUAAGAGAUUGGCAUUUCCCAUUUCUUCGUUCAUCCCAGCUGCAACAGUACAAUAAACUUUUAUUUCCUUGAUUGUCCAUUCUGUCGCCAGAUAAAUUAGGUUUUGCCAGCAACUACUCCAACAUCCUGCCACCUCCACCCUUGCUAACCAUCUAUCAUUGUAUAUAUAAUAUAUCCCCGACAAAAGAAGAGGAAAUAGACACCUUCCUCCUUAUAUAGAAGGUGUGAGGUAUAAAAAGGUCCAAGCUCCGUAGCGACUUUAUGCAAUUACUUUCUUUUCUGCGAACUGGUAAGUUCUUUAUGCAAUUACUUUCUUCUCACAUUCACCAUUGUUAACGUUAACCAAAUGCAGAAAAUCAACAAGAACCAGGCAGAUAUUACUAGGCUAACCCUUAUCCAUAGCAACACAACAACAACAACAUACCUAGUGAAAUUCCACUAAGUGGGCUUUGGGGAGAGUAGAGUGUACGCUGACGUUACCACUACCUGGUGGAGGUAGAGAGGCUUUUUCUGAAACCCUUAUCCAUAGCCAAUGUAAAAUUAAGACUGAAUAUUAUAAUUAACCCACUAAGUUUUAUCUUUCAAUGUUUCAAAAGAGGUCAUAGAAAAGUUUUUAAGAUAUAAAGAUAAAUUUAAACCCUUUUCAAACACUGCUGCUAUAAAUUCCAAUUUACAGAAUGAUGUCCUAAACACAGGGUUCCUAAUUUGGAAGUCAGUGAAGGUCAAAAUAAACAGCCUACAACAAGAAGUGAGUUAAACAAGGACCAAUUUAUUUUCAAGAAAAUAAGACCAUUUGUUGCAUUGACUUACAUUCUCCAGGAUUUGCUGCUUCACCACUGACAACCCUUGCUCCCCAUUGUGUACAGAUGUGACAGGAAUGAGAAGUAUUAUGGUGAGGCUCUUAUACUGAAAAGCACAAAGAUACAUCCUCUCCUCUGUUUGCUUGAGCCAAAUUGUUGGACUGCUAGGACACAAGCUGCCAACUUCUGUGCCCCAAAUAUCAGUAACAAGGAAACCAUCCUUCCCUUUGGACCAUUUCUCAUGCUGUAAGGGCCUAACAACCUGAUAGCUACGAACUCCAACUGGAGAAGUAUCCCGUGAGUUGUAGUACCGGUCCAGAACAGAGUUAGAGCUUGUUGAUAAAGACACAGAAGCAUUAGAAGUAGUACUUCCUUUGCGUAAAUAGGACCAGGAGCUAGCUCCAGCAGACAGAGCAUUUGGGGUCAACCUCAUGACUGUGUACGUGAAUAGGUUAAUCAGGUCAUCCUGAAAAGAUGAAUAGUGACCAUUCAUGAUUAGAGCAAAACGUGCAUUUAAAGGAUCCUCCAUAUAUAGUUGGUCAUUGCAGACAUUAUUGGUUUUGAAUUGCAACUGCUUCUAAAACAAAGUUACUAAAGAUAAAUCUGGGAACUGGCAUAACCUGACCAGGAUGAUCGCCUAGUUAAGUUGGGAUCAGUCCGGGUUGAAACAGCCCAAGUUGGUUUCAACUUAGCGCUGGGCUGGCAAAAAUUCUUAUGGUUUGGGUCCGGCCUCGGACCAGGACCACUAACCAAUUGUACCGGUUCUUUGGUGGGCAGGGCUGGGAUUUAUUUAAACUUUUAUCAUUGUACCUAUUUAAAUAGAUUUUGGCAAUAAUUAUUUUGAAAAAUGUAAACUGUAACUUUUAAAAUUAAUCUAUUUUUUAAAAAAAUAUUAUUGAAAAACGUAAAUGUGACAUUGUAUUUGUUUAAUAGUUUGCAAGUUAAAACACGGAAUACUUGAGGAAAAAUAAGUAAAAUAAACAGUAGCUAUUAGACUAUGAGAUUUAACAAAAGUACAAAUUAAAAAAAAAAUCAUUUCAUAAAACAAAAAAUUAACAAAAGAAAUCUCAAUCUAAUAUAGUGACAUAGCAUAUUCAUAUUCGAAUAUAUUUCGUUCUUUAGUGUUUGAAUCAUUUUUGACCACUUAAUUUAACCCAACCUUUUAAGUGAACAAGAACUUCUGGUGUAUUCCCCGAGAGUAAGCUCACUUGUCCCUGUACAGAUGCAACCGCACAAACUGGAAUCACCAGUUUUAGUUUUUAUUUUUUGAUUUGUACUUUGUAGUCUUCUUUUCCCUGCCGAUCACAGACUGUCCAAUUUGGAAGUAGUUUCACCUUUGACCCAAUUUAUGGGCUAGAGCCUAGAAGUCCUGAAACUGGCCCAAACGUAAACCUGGAAUAGCCAGGCCAGUUAACCUUCCUGGGUCUAUUUUCUGGGCCAGUUUCCUAGGCUAACCCGAUCCAACUGCCAGGUCUAACUAGACCAGAAGUAUAAAGAGGGAGUAAAAGUAAAAAUGAGAGAGAGAGAAGCCUACAGGAGAAAGAGUUGUGGACACCAGCAAAUCCUGGAACAUGAUCAGUGAGUAGCUCUGUUUGCAGCCAGCACAUGAUUCUAGCACUCUUACAAGUGACUGCGAAUGCCAAAUGCAAGAAACUGUAAUUAGAAUGGCAAUAGAUCACAAGAUUAUGGCAUGUGCACAAUAACGUUAGCCUUACUAGCAAAAAUCUACAUUGAGGCCUUGGAUUUCAUACACACCUCAAUCAAGAGGGGACAUAAAAAAUAGAGUUCAAAUCAUCAGUUAGGCCAUAUAUUAUUUUUGAGAAUUGAUAACAUUGUCUUCUUUAGCAUUAAGGGAAUGCUGGAAACCUUUUAGAAAAAUCAGAAAAGAACAAAAAGUAAUACUUACAACGAUCCUAAGAAUUCUAAAAAUUGAUCUGAAUCCUCCAAUCCUAUCUCUUUACACCAAAAUAUAGAGAUACAAUGCAAUUCUAUUUAACCUUGAGAAUGAAAUUCGAUAUUAUCUUCAAAAUUCCUAUUAUUCAUCUCUUUCCACACUGUCCACCAAAUGCAAUGUGGAAUUAAAUUCCACUAGGUCUUCUGUCUCUUGCUACCUCCUCUCCUAAUCCAGCACCUCACGAAAUCAGUUGUAUGUUCUUGCAUAGUCCAUUUCACAUCUGAAAAGUUGAGAAGCAUGGACCAUAUUUGAGAUGUGAAAGUACAAUAUAAGAAUAGGUGACUAGUAGUUUUCCCUAUCUUCCCACAUAAAGAGCACCACGGAAGUAUGAUCCUUCCUUUCCUCCUCACGACUAUGCACUAAACUUUUGUUGGUGCUGAAUUCCUCCAAAUCUUUUUCCAUAAACUCUGAUGUUUGCUGCUUUGCAGGUUGCACUCCUUCUUGUAUGCCCUGCCAACUAUGAAGAUCCCAUCCUCACUGUGAGACCAUCUAACUGCAUCAUUGGUUGUAUUAGUACCUGCAAAAUCCCCACUUCCUCCAACAAUUUGGCUACUCUCUCUAUUUUCCAAUCAUUUAGUAGCCUUCUGAAAUAAAAGUUCCAACAUUGUUCUAUCCAGCAAUCACUGAUCAUUGCCUCAGAAUUAGUGCACAAAAUAAAAAAAAUCAAGAAACGGGUCCUUCAUGGGCACCUGUUUGAUCCAUACAUCCCACUAGAAUCUAGUUUUCCUACCAUUCUCCACCUUGAUAUGUAAAUUUGGUUCUAGCUUGAGUCAUAAGUUUCUAAUAGCUCUCCUAGCCCCCACUCCAUAAGCAUCAAUGCUUACCUUACUACACCAGAAUCCAUCCUCCCCAUAUUUACAUUUAAUCAAGUCUUUCCACAAAGCUUGCCCCUCCUCAGUAUAUUUCCACAACCAUUUUAUCAAAAGGUAGUUGUAAUGCUUCCUCAAACCUCUGAUGCCCAAACCACUUUUAUCUUUUCUAUGCUUAAACUGUCUUCCAACUUGACCAGAUUGUAUCCUUUGAUCUCUUCACAGCCAUGCCAAAGGAAAUCUCUCCUAAGUUUGUCCAAUUUCUUAGUCAUCUUUGCAGGUAGAGGAAAAAGAAACAUAACAUAUGUUGGGAGAGAAAGAAUCUAGGACAGAGUUGAUAAUGAUGUGUCUACUACCAAUGGAAAUGUAUUGUGCCUUCCAUCUGGCUAGUCUCUUUUCAAUCUUAUCCACUAUGUUGUCCCUCUUCUUCAAAUGUUUGUGUUUAUUGCCUAGAGGCAUACCUAAGUAGGUUGUGGGAAAUUUCUCCACUUUGCAACCCAAAAUGUUAGCUAGCCUCUUAAUGUUUGUCACAGUCUUGAUAGGAUAUAAACUGCUCUUUCCCCAAUUAAUGUUCAAACCUACAGAAGCUUCAAAAAAACAACAAAAUUUGUUUGAUGAAAUCUAAGUUGCUCCUCAUGUGGCUCAUUGAAGAUCAUUGUGUCAUUUGCAUAAAGUAGAUGACAGUUCUUUACUAUCACCAUUGUUACCACUAAUCUGGAAACCUCUGAUCCACCUGUUUUGAGUAGCAAUCCUCAUCAAACUAUCAAACCCCUCCAUUAGCAGGAUAAAUGAAAAAGGUGAUAGAGAUCACCCUUCCUGAUUCCCCUGCCUGAAGAGAAAAAGCCCACGGGUUCGUCAUUUAUAAGAAUUGAGAAUCUCAUCAUGCUUAUGCAGAAUUUUAUCCAUCCCUAAGGCUGGGCACCGGAACGGGUUGUACCAGUACCAUUCUGGUCCGUUCCGGUACCAUUCCGGUUCGUUCCGGUCCGGUAGUAUUCGGGACGGGAUGGGAUACAUUGAACCGGUACACGGAACGGAACGGUACCAUGAUUUGGUACCGGUUCAUUCCGGUUCCGGUCCGGUCCCGGUAAAUCAUUUUUAAUUAAAAUAAAAAAUAAUAUUUUUGUCAUUAUUUACUUUUAUUAGCAUUUCUUUUUUGUUUAUUUAAUUUUUUUAAAAUUACAAACUUAAGUUAUUUAACUUACAAGUUAUAAGUAUAACUUAAUAACUUAUAAACUUCAAAAGAUUCAAAUCUUUAAAACUUAUAACAUAACUACAUAAGCUCAAAAACUAAAAAAAAACUUUAUUAAACUUAACUUACAAACUUAUAUACGUAAAAAUUAAAAAAAUAAUCUUUAAAAUAAACUUAAGUAAAAUUAUUAUAAAUUUUAAAACUUAAAUACUAUAAACUAAUAUAACUUAGAAAAAUAAAAAAACAUUCGUAUUUUCGUAAUUCAAAAUAACUCAAAAAAUAAUUAUUAUUUUUUGAAAUAGCUAUAUGUGCCGUCCCGUUUAUCCCAUCCCGUUCCGUUCUGGUCCAUUCCGGUCCGUCCCGGUUCUAGCCCGGUAUAUAGUGGGACGGGACGGAACCGAGCCUCCAUCCCGGUAGUUCCGGUCCGGUUCAUCCCGGUACCGGUCAACAACCCGGUCAAACCGUCCCGUUCCGGUUCGUUCCGGUCCGGUGGUCCCAUUCCGGUCCGGUGCCCAGCCUUAUCCAUCCCACACAUCUUUCUCCAAAACCCAUUUCUCUCAAGUUGUUCAACAGGAAAAAAAAAAAAACAAUUUACAUAAUCAUAUGCCUUUUCAAUGUCCAACUUGCACAUUUCCUCUAAGGUAUUCCCUUUCCAACUAGACACAACACACUCACUUGAAAUGAAAGCAACAUCCAAUAUCUGUUUUCCUUUAAUAAAGGUCAUUUGGUUUUUGUUGACAAGCUUAUCAAUCACCUUUUUCAACCUUUCUGCCAGUAAUUAUGCUAUCACUUUAUAAACUACAGUAAUCAGACUUAUUGGCGUAAAGUCCUUUAGUUCAGCAACACCUAUUUUUUGGGGAUGAUUGCUACAAAAGUAGCAUUAAAGCUCUUGUCAAUCUUCUGAAUAGCAUAGAAUUCCUGUAUAGCCUUUAUGAUAUCCUCUUUCAAGAUCUCCCAAAAGGACAAGUAAAAGGAUUAUGGGUAGACCAAUAGAUGUUUUCUCCAUAGUACAGAGUUUUAAGCAACCCAAGAUCUCUUCCUCCUCAAAAGCACUCUAAUUUUAUUUGCUCCUCUACACUGAUGUUUGUGAUCCCCUAUAACUGUAGCUCAGGCCUCCACUCCUCUGGUUCUUUGUACAAAUUUUGGUAGAAGCUUUUGAUGGUCUCUUAACUGAUAAAAGGGUCAUUAGUAUUCCAUCCAUCCACCAUGAAAGACUCAAUGGAAUUGUACCUCUUGUGAGAAGUAGCUACUCUAUGAAAAAACUUAGUAACUUUAUCCCCCCUGCUUCAGCGACAAACCCAGUAUAGUCUCUAAUGCGGGAUUUGAGAGGGUAAAGUGUAUAAAGACCUUAUGACUACCUCGAGGAGGUAGAGAGGUUAAUUCCGAAGACUCUCGGCUCGAGUAACGAUUAUCAGAGCAGCUAACAGAACAAUACAAAGGUAAAGAGUACAUAGAAAAUAGUAAGGAAAACAUAACAUACCAAUGAGGGGCAAUAACCAUAACCAACUAAUGUGAUAACUGAAGCACACUAAAUAAUGAGGAAUAACAAAGGUCGUAAGAUAGGCCAACUACGAGACAAAUGCUACUAGUACUAGUAAAAAAUACAAAUCGGGAAACAGAUGCAAUGCACCAAUCAAUCCUACUAGGAAAUAAGACGACUCUCAACUACCUACUAACCUUAUACCCUAAUUCAUGACCUUCAUAACUUCUUGUCUAAGGUCAUGUCCUCGGAGAGUUGGAGCUGCACCACAACGAGGAUUCUUGAUCUAUGCCUCCACCUUAUUUCUUCAUUCUAAGUUACUUACUCAUAGGUGAUAGCCAAAAAAAAAUAAUUGUUGGAUCUCCUCCUCUGUGAGCAUUCUUUUGUUCCUGCACAGCUUCCCAUUUGAUCCAGCUCCUCCAUAAUCUCCUCCUUCUGUGCUUUUCAAUUGUUUCGGUUAUUCUUACUUCAUUCCUUCGUCUUUCCUUUUAAGAAUUUCAGCUUUUCUACUAGAAGAAAAACUGGGGUUCCAUUUAUUGCAAAGACGCUGCCACCACAAUUUCACCUCUUCCUUGAAUCCUUCCACUCUCAUCCACCAAUUUUUGAAUUUGUAAUAGGACUUCUUGAAAUUCAGACCCCCACAAGUCUGUAGAAUUGGGUUGUGGUCAAAUCUCACCAUAGGCAUUGUAGAUUGCCCAAUAAGAGUGAACUGCUCCUCUCAUUGUGAGCAAUAAAGGCAACUAUCAAUUCUGGAAGUUGUAUGUUGUUGUUGUUGUUGGAGAGAUUAUAUCAUUCAGUAUGUUUGAAUUCUAAAACUUCAAUAAAGUUGCGUAGCACAUUACUCUGUUUAAGAGUGUGCUGAAAAGGUGGUAAUGGGUUGCGCCCUCUUAAUACAAAGUGCACUUUGAAGUUGAGACAUUCCAAAAAAGAAACAUAGUUCACAUGAAUUGCCCAAAAGAGAAAAAGAAACAAGAAUCAGGAAGAUUGGAAAGACCACAAAAAAUGUUUAGAUUUACUGUCUAAGAUGUAACCAAAUUACAUAUAUUAUCUAUUUUCCUAUAGUAUAGUAGCUGUAGGCAGAAUCUUUUACGCAACUCAAGAUAAGAGUUUAAAAUUAAAACAUUGUUAUCUUCACAAAAGAGAGAUGGAGAGAACAUUAAACUACAGUUCUUCAUUAUUAAAGCUGUUAUUAGCUUAAGUUUUACCUUUGUCGCUAUAAACAUAUGUUCUAAUAAUGUUAAUGAGGUCAUACUGUACAUGCUAAAGGUGGAAGAUAAAGCAAGUCCACCAGAUGUUUGAUAUGCUGAGAGACUUGGGAGUUUUUGGAACUAUUCCUCCAACUACACGGGGCUAGUCAAUUAGAAGGCCAGCGUAAUAGCUAAAGGAAAAGGCAAUGGUGAUUACCAAUUUUUUCUUUCAUUCCUUGAAUGUGAGUUCCAUUACAUGAAGAUCUCAUGGCAAUCAUGCAGGGAGCUAAAAGUGUAAAAGUAGUGAACAAACAUGUAUGUAAACCUAUAUGCUUGAGCCACCGUGGACUGGAACACUUAAUCUUUAUUAAGGCAUUCAUAAAAUAGAACAGCGCCAAGUGUUUCAGUAAUGACAUCGCCAAUUUCUAAAAAGAUAGUAGCAGGGAUUUUCUUGGACAUCAAGAUGACAUGACCUUUUGGCAGAAGCUAUCAUGUGAAAAGAGUGAAUUAUGGUGGCUUUAGAUUAGACCAGAGAAGCCAGAACUUGCUCCUAACUAGAGCAAAUCGAAGCAACUGUGCAAACCUGAUCAAUUUUGGUCAACAAGACGAGCACAACAGACAAAGAGCUGAGCAAUAUAAUGAAUAAAUCGAGCAAAACAAAUAAAUCCACAGAUUUAUGAUUUAUCUAUUCGUCCCAGUAUGGCCAGGCCUUCAGUGUAAUCAAUAAACUGACAAGACAAACCUGAACUUCAAGUGCUGCCUCCCUCCCAAUAGUCAACAUCUGUACCAUUCCACGCUCCUUCAAAGAGUCACGGAAAUUUGGCAAGUGAAGCUUCUUCCCAGAAAGAAAAUCUGCCACAGAGGAAAAUUAAUAGGCAAAGCAUUCAAGAUGCAGUCUAAUGUUCAAAUUGCACAAACUGAAAUGAACUUAUUAGAUACAGAAGCUACAGUAUUACCCCAGCAGCGAAAUUCCAAUGAAGGCCGCUUUUCAAAUGCUGACAAUCAUGACUUGCAAUGAAAUAAUUUGAACAGGAAUAUUUUCUUAUAAAAGUGAUAAAAUGCAUAUUUUCAAGGUAGCUAAUGAUGCCUCACCACUUAAAUAAUCCAUGAUGAAAUAAUACAAAUGUGUCCGAGUAAGCCCUCCACUUGGUUCUCUAUCAAGUAAUGCUCUGAUGGACCCAUGAAACAUCACAAAGAGAGAGUGAACUUCUUUAAGAACAUUCCGUAAAGCAGCAGUCCGCCAUAUGGCUUCUGACUCACUUUUUUCCACCACCUAAUACCACCAGAAAAGCAAAUACAUAACAGAAGAGUCAUAAAGCAUAAUAAAUUUCUUCUGCAAUGGAAAUAAAACGUGAGGAAAUUUGAGUUAGUCCAAAAGAUGUGUGCAUUAAGCCUUUCUUGUUUUCAUAAGGAAGUCAUACUUAGCUUCCUUGUCAAAAAGAGGUAAGUCAUACUCAUUUUUUCACCAAGAAAUGACAGUCAUGCUUAAUUCAUUCCAUCUUUGUCCAGUCAAAUUUUAUUAAAGAAUUUCUGGGAAAUCUAUUUCACAGCCAACUGCAUAUACAAAUCAUAGUAUUGCAUUAAGAACCUACUGAAUUAGAGAUAUUAUACUCAUCGACAGCAUAGAAAAUAUUGAUAAACUCCACAAAGCACUGGUGUCUGUCAAGGUUGUUAUGUCUAUGUCUAGCAUGAGACCAACCUUACUCCAUUCUUAGACCAUUAAUGACAUGUCUGAGCACGCCAAGAAGUAGGGACCUGCCAUGGUCGGUACGGAAGUUUUGCAACUAUGAUGUUUGGCAGUUUAUUUAGACUUCAACCAGAAGUAUUAUGGAACAAAAUUUCCUUUUGAGUUACCACUUCUCUAGUUCUCUUUUCAUCCUCCCUAAUCUAGUCCUCAAUCUUCUAGAUUUCAGUUCACUGCAUGCGACAGUCCUGGAACUGUUCAUAAGUAAAAUUAUUCAAGUAUAACAAGGACAAUACCAAGAAGCAAGUCAGGAUGUACUGGCAAAUUUUUUUACUUUUUUACGUUGGAUGAUGUAAAUUUUUAUUUAGAAACAGUAACAAGAUGGUACUUCAGAAAAUAUUAAAAACGGGACUUGUUUCCACUAUAUAUUCAGAUUCUAACAAGCCUUUUAAAUUAUUCAAAUUCAAAAGUAAAUUUCGGUUCAUACUCACAGAUGUCAAAUCUGAUGCUAUAUAAAUCUGAUGGUGCAGGAUGUAGCAUUAGAUCUAUGAAAUUUGUGAGUUAUAUAUCCACUUAUAUCCAACAAAGCUUACAUCAUUGAGAUUAUAGCAAGCCUCCACAGUGAUCAUACUUUCAAAUUGUAGCAGGUAGAAGGACAGACCAACAUCAUAUAAUCUCUCAAAACCAGUUCAGAUAAUCAGUGAUCACCACAUGUAAUUAUUUAAUCCGAUAGUUGGUAGAACUUUCCUUCAUCCAUUUCACCAAAGAAUUCUUUACAAUUUAACCAUGACAGGUAACAUGAAAUGCCAGAAAAGUUCACUAAUUGAAUAAAGAAAAAUGAUUAUAUUAGUGCAAGAGGCCAUACCAUCACCAUCCAGAUAUCACGCUCUGCCUCAUAGAAAACAUGGGAGUGCAUCUCUGCUUCUAUAACCUCACAAGGAGCCUCUGGAGAGAAUAUUCUGCACGGAAUGAAAAAAAUAUAAAAAAGAUCAUCAUAUCACAUACAAGAGCCAUCUAGCAUACAACAGCAAGAAGUUGACAACAGCAUCCAGAUGGCUCAGUUCACAUUCAAGGAAUAUCUACCUUACAGAGCAAGAAAAUGAAGAUAAAUAUAAGACGAACUACUCUUGAUCUUAAAAUAACCCAUCCACGUCAGAAUCCCAUUGCUCUUCAUUAAGAAAAUCAAUUCCAAUUUAGGAACAGUCAUCAAGCUCUUUUUUUAAAACAUCUUUAAUGUCUCUAAUAUGAGAAUACAUGAGCACAGCUAACUUUCUACCUAAUGAUAUGGCUGAAGAAUCCUUUGGAUAAGAAUGACUAUUUAUGAAAGGAGAUGAACAAUGAAAACAUAUACCUAAAGCUAAGAACUGAAGCUAUAUCCAGCAAUACAGAUUUAAAAUCACAUUGCAGAUCAGCUAUUGAAACAGCAUUAAAGAAGUAAUGUAAAAAUAUAAAAUCGUAGCAACCAAUCCAGAUAUCCCAUCUUUAAGCAAGAGUUUCUCAAAGAACCACAUGAAUCUUUUAUUUAUUUAUUUUUGAUGGGUAAAGAACCACACAAAUUUUUUUUUAUUUAUUUUUGAUGGGUAAAGAACCACAUGAAUUUCUACUCAUUAAUAGAUACAGGUGUAGAUAUGUGAGUGCCAGUCGCAACAAACCUGGUGAAUGUUAUGAGUCCUUCACUAAGCCCUAUCACAGAGAGUUGGGUGGGGAAAGGCAAAUCAGCAGGAAAGAAAUAUAAAAUCUUGUCCAACUCCUGCCCUUCAUGUUGACCCCUUCUCAAAUCAAAUAUGCACAAUUUCAUAGCUUCACUAACAGAGCUUGCAGCCGAAAUUCCCAUUUAUCUGCUUCCUUCCUAUGACUGAGAUAUCAAGUUUCCAAAUCACAAAUUAGACUAGGUUCACAAACAAAACAGCAAAUAUGAAUUAUCAUACAAGACUUUAUUGAUGUGAUUUUACAACACGCAUGCAUUACGUCUACAUAGUUAACCCCUCAGCUUGUAGCCAAAUCCCUUUUACACAUCCGAGUUCCACAGGAACUUUUACACACCAACCAAACGUGUGUCUAAUAAACACCUCUUUAAUUAUGUAGCAAGUGCAUAUUUCACACAGAAAAAGGGCAAGUGCAUGGACCACUUAUAGUAUCUUAUCUAACAAAAAAAGCAAUCUCCUUCCCCAAGACAAACAAAUCCCACCCUUCUUCUAUGGUGGUUCAGCUCAAAUUUUCAAACCAAGGUAUUGAUCCACUGUUUCAAUCUGGUUUUUAAGCUUCCAAUCAGUAAUAGCAAUCGAACUCAACACAAAAAGUCCCAGUUCCAAAAAAGGAAUCAACCGCAACUUCAAAUGUUAAAGGACCCAACUGCUAUAAUUCUAUAACCAAGAUCUUGAAUCAGUUCCAACUUCAAUUCUUAACCCACAGGAAGAAUUUUCAAAUAAGUUUUGUAGCAAAAAAAGUGUAUCCAAUCAAACUCUUUAAUCAGCAAAUUAUUUACCUCAAACAAUAAGGGGACCGAAAAUGUUGGAACCGAUGAUGGGUGAAAAUGGUGGAAUCAAUGAUGUCUCAGAGAUAUUUGUGAGAAUGUCUAUCUAUGUAAAAAAGAAAAACCAGUAACAUACAACCAGUAAAGUGACAGUAUAUGGUAAAGCACUAAAUCUACAUUCAGUUCUUUUGCUUUAUAAUUAUCUGAAAUUCACAGGAUUUAGUUUUCGUCAACUACUUUAAGUCCAGAACAAUAGUUACCCAGUAUCACAUAUUAGAGUAGAAAUAAAUAAAAUUUAUCAACAAGGCCAAAAUUCGAGAAAGAAAAAAAAAACCCAUACCUAAUUUUUUUAACAAAGCGCAAUUAUAAUUUAAAUUGACCAACUUUCCCCAAAACCAAAAAUAAAUAAAAUAUUUUACUAUAAUAAGCAGGAAAAAAAGAGUUAUGAUUCUGAAAAAGUAAAGAGGACCCAGAUGAGAUAUGGUAAAAAGAAAGAAUCUUGCUAAACCCAUAAGCAGAAGUUGAUAAAUCAAAGAUGAGAAGGAAGCUCACCAACUUGCGGUUCAUAUUCUUGUUGUUUCCACUGGUGAUUGAUCGAAAGCGGAAGUGAUUAUUUGGUUGUGAUUGACAUUUUGCGAUUGUUUAGAUAAGGAUUCAGAUUAGGAAAUUACAUGGAAAAGGAAGAGGAAGUUGAAAUCGGAACUGAACUUCCUCUCUCUGCGUUUGGAGUUUGGACUAUGCCUAUGUGUUCGUUCAAUAUUUGCUUCAGGAUUUAUGUGAACCCAGAACGCAAUUACAUUUGUUGACUAACAAUUUCUUCGUAAAAUUAACUUUUUAAUUUAGUAUCCAAUUUUCAUUGAAAAAUUACUUUCUAUAAAAUAAAUUAAUUAAGAGCUCUUUUGUCCAAGUGAUUAAAAAUUACUUAUUCUGAUAAUUUGUAUUUGAUUAAUUUAUUUUAAAAAUACUUUUGAUAAACAUAUUAUGUUUAACUAAUAUUAUUUUAAAAAGUUAAAUCACAAAUAAGAAUAAGUAUCUAUGCACCUUUACUAUUAAAUUUAUUUUAUAGAAAGAAAAUUAUUUUAUAUAAUUAUUAUAAAAGACUUUAAUGAUAUUUUACUUGUAUUUAUUGAAACGUAUAUUUCAAAUUUUCAAUACAUAAAUAAAUCAAAUAGUGAUAUAUUAUUAACAUGAAGAUUUAGCUAUACUAAAAAAUAUUUAAAACUAUUUCACAAAUUAAAUCAGUAGGAAAAAUUCACCACAAUAUAAGUAGAAUUUGUUAGCUGCAAAGGUAAAACUAUGAAUAAUAAUAUAUAAAAUGUAAAAUAAAACACAUGUGUAUAAAUUAACAAAACUAAUGAGUUAUGCUAAUAAAUUAAUAAGAGAUAUAUAUUAAAUAUAUAUAAAUGGUAUGACAUUGUUAACUUGAAAAAAAUAUUUUUUUGCUCCGCACAAAAACUGUUUCUGCUUCUAUUUAAAAACAGUUUUACACCUCAUUUCUCAGAGAACGAAAAAAAAAAGAGAGUAUUUUUUUCUUAGAAAAAAAAAAUGUUUUUGGCCUCCCAACCACUUGCCAAAACAGACCAAGUAAAGGAAAGCAAUGCAGAAGUUAUGCAUUUCUCUUUCGGCAUCUAUAGAAUUGUUUAUCCUCUAAACAUGUCCCUGCAAAUGAGUUAUCUUCUAGUACUAUACAAAGAUAGGGAAAAGGCAGGAGUUCUAUUAUAUCUUCAGUUACAAAAAGGGUUGGCUGCUAAGUCACUCGAAUAAGUAAUACAACCAUGACAAAGACUAAUGUCAUGACAAAGAUCAAAAGCCACUGGAAGCAUGUUGUCUUGAAACUCCGCGAAUACACAUCCAUUGCUCUGGAAGUUGCAUGCCCUGUACUUGCCAGGCUAUGCUCAACUGCUUUCUCAGUUGAAUCAAGUAUCUGCAUCCACAUUAUAUAUGACAACUAUGAGGACAAUAUUGACAAAGUGACUAGUAAAACCAGAGACUAAAGUAAAAAGUUUGUAACUAGACAAGAUGAAUAAGAAAUCCAGUGAAUCUGAACAACCUAAAUACCACAGUUUUUUAUUUCUUUUCCGCACUGAAUUAGUAAAGAAUCUUCAAACAUGUAGUAAUAUCAGAGAUAGACUAAUAAAAUAUUGUUGUGUCAGAAAAGAUAGUUUAGGUUACCAAUGGCCUCAAUUGCCUCCCAACAGGCAAAAUAGUUUAGAUUGGAGACACAAAAUCACUCUCAAAGCAAAAAUUGUUAAGAGAGUAAGUUCCCAAGUCCCAACAAUUUAAGCAAAAUGAAACGAAACAAAGACUUUACUUUCUCGGUGUUUUUGAUGGAUUGAUUCAUCAUGAGACUGCUCUCUUUGAGCUGCCGUGCCAAAACAACCAUUUCAUCAGUCAAAUCCUCCUGAAGUUUCCUGCAAAAGAUGAGAAUAUCUGAUAGUUUAUCAAGUAGACUCUACCUAACUAAUCUCACUCCUCUCUGAGAGAAAAAAAUAUUGCAUAAAUAAGUGAUUAGUUUCUGUGGUUACUUUUCUCCUACAAUGAAAAAGACUGGACAAACAGAUGGUAGUGGCAAAGAUGCACUAUGGAUCAUGUACUAGAACAGUUGGGAACAUACAUCUAGUUGAGGCACAUAUACAUACAUCACUUCAGAUGGAGGCCUAGGCCUCCUAAGAGCCCCAAACUAUCAUCUUCAAUUUUCAAAUAUAUGCUUCCAAACAACUCUCUAUCCACAUGUGUUAGUUGCAGAGAUGAUGUAUAAUUCCUUUGCUUCUGUGCAGUGCCUCAGCUCAGUGAUAAAAGUAAGCCUCACAAGUGUAGAUAAGCAAUUUUACUUGGAUCAUUACCAAGUAAAUAUUUCAAAACAACCCUUUUUACAAAAUAGAGCCCUACUUGCGUCCUUGUAAAAAAUGAAGGUUGCUUACACAAUUCAUUAGUUCAUCUGCAAUAUUACAAGUCUCAAUGUUUCAUCUUAUGCCAAAAAACCGAAGACAGCAAACAAUUAGACUUCAGGUUUAUGAACUCGAAGCAUCUCUUAUUUCUCUCCCUCCACAAAUUCCAUACAAUAUUGUAAGGGAUGGCGUUUUGGAUCUUCUUGGUGGCUUUUCCUAUCUUUCUUACAUACCAGCUGAGAUAUGCAAACUUAAACCUGUUUAGCAUCUAAAAGAAGUUCAAAGACAUGUCCCACCUUUCCAAAGCAACUGCACAAUGUAAGUACAAAUGAUUGGUAUCUUUCAUUUCUUGACCACAAAAAUGACACCUGUUGCAUAAUGUAGAUCCUCUCCUUCUCAAGUUUUCUUCUGUAAGGCGUGACUCAUGAAGAACACCCAGCCAAAAGAAUAAACUCAAAAGGGUACUUCACAUUUUGUUCAUUAUUAGAGACUACUUAGGGGCCACCUAAAGGGAGUUGGAUUGGGCAGGGUUGGGUAUAUACCUGUACCCGCAUGGGUUGUGGAGGUCCACUGGGGGACCGUACCAGUAAAAUGCCAAAUCAGCUCCAGUAAUGAGGAACCGGACCAGCGGGGUUUGAUGGUAACUUUUUUUUUAUAAAAAAAUUCCGUUUCAAUUUGACCGUUGGUCCCCCCAAACAGCUAUGUUUCAGUUUUUGCAAUUUAAGCCAAUUUUCUGUUUUUUGUUGUAAAAAAUAACCCCUCCCCUUAAUUUUCCCUUUACAAAAUCUAUAAACCACCCCCACCCCAUCCCUCACCCCCCUAUCAUAUUUUCCCACAACUCUCUCUCUCUCUCUAAUCUUUCAACUUUCAUCUCAUUUGAAUUAUCUCUUGAAGUGCUAGCAAGAUUUAAUAGUUUUCUUAAUUAUGAGUUUAUUUUUAUUUUGGUUUAUUUGGUAAUUCAAUAGUAAAGAGCAAGUUGCACUUGUGCUACCGUCCAAGUCAAGUAUUCAACUUAUUGCAGCCCCUUAACACCCUUAUCUAAGAGUCUCUUGACCUCCUCAUGUAGUGUAUCCAGUUGUCACUGUGAUAUACUCUACCUUUCCAGCAUCCCUAACAAGAUUGAUUUUACUUCCCCAAUCCAAGCAAUGCAUUUUGAGUUUAAGGUCCCAUCCUCCAUUCUUCCUACAUGGUAACAAUAGUGAAAACCUGAAGAAAUUGUUUCCUUUAAGGACAUCUCCGACCCAUAACACCAAAUUUUACACCAAAACAGGGUUUGGUGUAAAAUUUCGUGUUGGGUUGGAGAUGGACUAAAAGAGUAUGCCCCAGUCUAGGAUUUUAUCUUAUCAUCUCUAAAAUUAUUAAAAUAGACCUAAAUUUUGAGUUCUACAGAUGAUGCCUUAUCUAUAGGAGGAAACAACAGCCUUUGUGCACCAAUGUUCAUCUGCAUACCAUAAUUUGCAUUAACAACCUUCCCCACAAAGUUUCAUCUUCGUGGUUCUAUCUCCAUAACCAUUUACAUAGCAAACAUCUACAGAGAACUCACACAUUCACACACACACCCCUCUUCCUUUUUUUCAGUGUUAAGACAACUUUUGUGUUGUGGUUGCCUUCCCACGAAAUGUUCUUUCUUCUUUUGUCCAAAUAUUUCAAAAAAUUAUCAGGCACAAGAAACAAAGACAUGAAGUAGGGAGGAAUGAUGUCUAAUCAACUGUUUAUGAAUUAAUCAAAUGAUGUCUAAUCAACUAUUUAUUAGUUAAUCUUCCCCAUAUUGACAAAUUAUUUUUCUUUCGAGUUGCUAACCUUUUUCAAACUUUUCCUAUACUUGCAAAACUUCAAUAGAAUUAUGCUCAUCUCCUAAAGGGAGCCCUGAAUGCAUUGAAUUCUCCUACUUUUGCACCCAGAUAUAUUUACAAGUAUUAGCUUAUUGCCUUAUCAUCCAUACAUCAGACGUUGCUUAGGUUUAUAUUCAAACCUGAAACAACUUUAAAAGCCAGUGGGCCACCUUAAGAAACAUCAUAUGUUUUUCCUUGUUUCACACACUAACAUUGCACCAUUGGCAUAGAAACUAUGUGAGUUAUUAUAUUAUUGUCUUUUUAUUUUCUGAAAAGACAGAUGUUAAGUUAUUGUCCUCUGGACCAAAAAAAAAAAAGAUACCUACAUACCUUUAUCAUAUGGGAUAUUCCCUCCCAGGCACGAAUACCAAUGCACUUUCUCUGUCCUACUUUCUAGGGCAGUAGAAGACCAUUUUUCCGGCAGCAACCACCGGAAUCUUAGCCUUUUCUUUCUAAGCCAACAAUUAUCACCCACUGUGAUAAUUGCUACACACUUUAGCCUAGGAUGGAAGAGAAUAGAAUUUAUUUUAAUGCUGGGUUUAAGUCAUUUGACAUCACUAGAUGGAACUCGAGCAAGUCUGAAUGGUAUGAAUGGGUUGAAAGAAGUAGAAAGAAGAUGACGAGGUCAGUUAUGAGCAAGAAAGCUAUGGAAUGGAUAUGUUUCUGCCUGAGAGAGGCUUCAAAGGAGCAUAAAAAGGAGACGAGAAGAUGGAAACUAGCAGAUAGAGAGGCAGAGCUUUUUUGUACUAAGAAGCAAAAUGAAUAUGGGAAAUUUAUGAGCGUGAUAACCUUAAAUAGUGGUGGAAGGUCGGGCUUAAUCAUACCGGAACUUGCAUUAAAUGCAGGGUGGGUGGAUAUUGCAUUAAAGAUUGAGAGAUUCAUUAAAUGUCAUCAAAGAGAGAAGGAACAUUCUUUCUCAAGGGUGACGGAGGAAGAAUACUCUUAUGCUGAGGCUGUCCAACAGAGUAAAUGGGGGAGCAGUAAUUUAAGAAGAGCCGAGAUGAACACCAAGAAAGGAAGCAUUCUGAUUACUAAGCCAGUGAAUAUUAAGGAGGAAGAUCUCCUCAAGAGAUGUCUUAUAGGAUAUUGCACUGCAGGAAAGAAGGAGAAACCAACUCUGGCGGAUAUCAGGAGCUGGUCCUCAACAAACUGGAAAAAGGUCUUUGGAGUCAACAUAUAUGAAUUGAACAGCGAAAUGUUCCUUUUCGAAUUCCCCAAUAGAUACAUGGCGGAAUUGAUCAUCCAAGGCCAAUGGAGGUGGAAGAGUAGCAUAUUUCAUCUAGAUUGGUGGAGUCCAACAACAGGGUGCACUCCUAGCCCGUCAACUGUGCGUGAAACUUGGAUUAGAGUAGUGGGGAUUCCAUUGCAUUUGUGGUCUAGGAAGGUCUUCCAAGAAAUUGGGGAUCUGUGUGGAGGUUGGAUUGAGACAGAAGAAGAAACUGAGCUAAAAAACCACCUGAAGUGGGCAAGGAUUCUGGUGAAAAACAACGGGAGAAACCUUCCGAAAGAGGUCUCUGUUGCUUGUGAUGGAAUCACAUAUUUUUUUCCAAUUUGGGCAGAAAGCAAACCCAGAUUCGAAAUAAGGCCGGAAAGUGGAGGCAUAGUCGCCGGGGAAGAUGAGGUCUUUUGCCCAGGGAAUAGGUUUAUCCAGAGGUCUGAUGGCGUAAAUAUCUGUGACAUAGUACCAAAAUCCCAUCCUUUUAGGGAUUUUAGUACAUCGAAGCACGUGGGCUGUACUUCGACAGCUAGAAAGACAAUGGGGAAUGGAGCACGUGAGAGGCAUGUGAGUUUUUUAAAUGAGAGGGCUGAACUGGGCCCAUCAGGAAAGCCCAAGAAGAAUAACAAUUCUAAAUGGCCCAAUGGCCCUGAUUUUGCAGCACAUGUCAUCUUUAAUGAUUUACAAGGGACAAAGAUCGGCUACACAGAAACCCAUAAAUUGGCUGGUGACAUAACAGCCUUGCACGUGUUCAAUUCAGGCCAAGGAAAGCAGAACAUGAACACAAAAGUCGUGACAGAGCUGCUGGAGGAAGAAAUCAGGGGAGAUUUGAUGAUAACGGGAGAGGAAGAACCUAACUCCACAGAUAGGGGAGAGGAUAGAGAAAUUACAAAGUCAGGGGAGACUGGGCUAGCAAUACAAAGCUCAAACACAGAAAUAGUUAAUUGGGAGGUGGAGGAACCUGUACCAAUUAUGGUGCAGCAACAACAAAGGGCUCAAGAUGUAGACAAAGCGAAUUCAACAUGGGUACAACAGAACUUGAUAAAACUGGGGAAAAUCUUUGGGAUCGAUUUCCAAGGGCAUGAAGAGGAGGCAACAGAGUUACUACUACAAAUAGACAGUUGCAGACAAGUCAGGAGAAUGGAGCAGGAUACAGAAGUUAAGAAACUCAAGAUCAAGGGUGCACAAGAACUUAAAAGUCUUGUAGCCUUUGAUGUAAAAUUUAAAAGUUCUGGAAGUAGGAAUAAGGGGAGGAACACAAUUUUCAAUACAUGAUGAAGUUUAAGCUAAUAUCAUGGAAUGUUAGGGGAUUAAACGACAGGGAGAAGAGAAGGGUUGUACAUAGUUUGUUGUCUGGAUGGAGAGCAGAUAUAGUGUGUCUCCAAGAAACAAAAAUUGAAGGGGAUAUUUCAGAGAUGGUAAAACAGAUUUGGGGAGGCAGGUGGAUUAGACAUGCCUGUCUAAAAGCAAGUGGAACAAGAGGAGGUAUCUUAUUGAUGUGGGAUGCGAGGGCAUGGAUGGGGGAGGUCUUGGAAAUUGGUUCUUACACCAUUACUUGUAAAUUUGAAUCACAAACCCAGAAUUUUAGCUGCCAUAUAUCUGGAGUGUAUGCUCCUAAUUGUUACAAGGAAAGGAGACUUGUAUGGGAAGAAUUGAGCUCAGUAAGGGGGUUGAUAGAGGGACCCUGGGCAAUGUGUGGGGACUUCAAUGUAUCUAGGUACAUAUCUGAGAAGAAGAACUGCAACAGAAGAACUAAGGGAAUGAGAGAGUUUUCUGAUUUCAUAGAGGACAUGGAAUUAGUUGACAUGCAAUUAGAAGAUGCUGCAUACACAUGGUUUAAGGGAGAUCAACAGGAGGCAGCCUCCAGAAUUGAUAGAAUCAUGAUUUCUAAAGAAUGGGAUGAUACCUUCAACAAUUUGAAACAGAUUCCUCUUCAAAGGCUGGGCUCAGAUCAUAUACCAAUAGCGUUGAUUACUGGUUGCUGGGAGAGAAAUAAAAGCUACUUCAAGUUUGAAAAUUGGUGGCUGCAGUCAGAAGGAUUUGUGGAUAGAGUUAGAGAGUGGUGGAGCUCCUUCAGUUACACAGGAAGAGUUACACAGGAAGACCUGAUUAUGUUUUGGCAUGCAAACUUAAAGCACUGAAACUUAAGCUAAAGGAAUGGAAACAAGAAGAGGGUGGAAAUCUGGGCAGUCAAAGAAGGAGAUUGUUAGAGCAGUUAGCAGAAUUAGAUACAGAAAGGGUAAAUAGAACUCUCACUGUGGAGGAAACGACAAAAAAGGCUGCAAUCUUACUUGAGUAUGAAGAGCUAGUCAAGAAAGAGGAAGUUUCAUGGAGACAGAAAUCAAGAGUACUAUGGUUGAAGGAGGGAGACAAGAACACCAAAUUCUUCCACAAAAUGGCAAAUGCUCACAGGAGAUAUAACAAUAUAGAUCAACUCAUGAUACAAGGAGAGGUUACUCAAGAGAAAAGCAGAAUUGAAGGGGAGAUAAUAGCAUAUUAUAAGAACCUGUAUAGAGAAACACAUCAAUGGAGACCUUAUAAUAAUGCUGAAUGUCCAAUGUUGACUGAAGAGGAAAAACUGUCCCUGCAAGGCAGAUUUGAGGAGAAUGAAGUUCUAAAUUGCCUAAAGCUAUGUGCAGCCGAUAAGGCUCCUGGUCCAGAUGGGUACACAAUGGGUUUCUUCAUCAAGUGUUGGGAUGUACUGAAGAAAGACAUCAUGGACACAUUUCAAAACUUUUAUGAGCAAGAAGUCUUCGAGAAGAGUUUCAACGCUACCUUCAUUGCACUCAUUCCAAAGAAAAAAGGAGCCAAUGAGUUAAGGGACUACAGACCAAUUAGCCUCAUAGGGAGCAUUUACAAAAUACUCUCCAAAGUUCUCACAGAAAGGUUGAAAGCUGUGAUAGAUAGACNNNNNNNNNNNNNNNNNNNNNNNNNNNNNNNNNNNNNNNNNNNNNNNNNNNNNNNNNNNNNNNNNNNNNNNNNNNNNNNNNNNNNNNNNNNNNNNNNNNNNNNNNNNNNNNNNNNNNNNNNNNNNNNNNNNNNNNNNNNNNNNNNNNNNNNNNNNNNNNNNNNNNNNNNNNNNNNNNNNNNNNNNNNNNNNNNNNNNNNNNNNNNNNNNNNNNNNNNNNNNNNNNNNNNNNNNNNNNNNNNNNNNNNNNNNNNNNNNNNNNNNNNNNNNNNNNNNNNNNNNNNNNNNNNNNNNNNNNNNNNNNNNNNNNNNNNNNNNNNNNNNNNNNNNNNNNNNNNNNNNNNNNNNNNNNNNNNNNNNNNNNNNNNNNNNNNNNNNNNNNNNNNNNNNNNNNNNNNNNNNNNNNNNNNNNNNNNNNNNNNNNNNNNNNNNNNNNNNNNNNNNNNNNNNNNNNNNNNNNNNNNNNNNNNNNNNNNNNNNNNNNNNNNNNNNNNNNNNNNNNNNNNNNNNNNNNNNNNNNNNNNNNNNNNNNNNNNNNNNNNNNNNNNNNNNNNNNNNNNNNNNNNNNNNNNNNNNNNNNNNNNNNNNNNNNNNNNNNNNNNNNNNNNNNNNNNNNNNNNNNNNNNNNNNNNNNNNNNNNNNNNNNNNNNNNNNNNNNNNNNNNNNNNNNNNNNNNNNNNNNNNNNNNNNNNNNNNNNNNNNNNNNNNNNNNNNNNNNNNNNNNNNNNNNNNNNNNNNNNNNNNNNNNNNNNNNNNNNNNNNNNNNNNNNNNNNNNNNNNNNNNNNNNNNNNNNNNNNNNNNNNNNNNNNNNNNNNNNNNNNNNNNNNNNNNNNNNNNNNNNNNNNNNNNNNNNNNNNNNNNNNNNNNNNNNNNNNNNNNNNNNNNNNNNNNNNNNNNNNNNNNNNNNNNNNNNNNNNNNNNNNNNNNNNNNNNNNNNNNNNNNNNNNNNNNNNNNNNNNNNNNNNNNNNNNNNNNNNNNNNNNNNNNNNNNNNNNNNNNNNNNNNNNNNNNNNNNNNNNNNNNNNNNNNNNNNNNNNNNNNNNNNNNNNNNNNNNNNNNGGAAAUACUCAAAUGAAAACCAAACACUUCGGAGAAGAGCGAUAAGUGCCAAAUAUGAGAAUGAAGAUAGUUGGAUGACUAAGAUUGUGACCACACCUUAUGGGAUCAGUUUAUGGAGAUCCAUAAGAGCAUUAUGGGAGGAAGUUAAACCCAAAUUCAAGAUGAAAGUGGGGAAUGGGAACAAAAUCAAAUUCUGGAAGGAUGAAUGGCAUGAGAAAGGUAACCUGGAAACUCUUUUCCCUGAUAUUUACAAUCUGGCAAUGUUCCAACAAAGAACUAUUGCAGAACUAUGGACACCACAAGGGUGGAAUUUCAUCUUCAGGAGAGAACCAAAUGACUGGGAAGUGAUGAGGUUGGCAGAAUUCCUCAAGUUGGUUGGACAUUUUACUGGACUUCAGGCAUAUGAGGAUAUGCUUUGGUGGAAAGGCAACAAUAGAGGAGAGUUCAAAGUGCAUUCAGCUUACAGGCUGAUGGAUGAAUCAAGCCAGCAGAGUCCCAUCUGGCCUUGGAAACAAGUAUGGAAGUGUAGAAUCCCACACAAAGUCUCAUGCUUUAUUUGGCUGCUAGCUAAGGAAGCUGCCCUGACUCAGGAUAAUGUAAUGAAAAGGGGGAUAACCUUAUGCUCUAGGUGUUUCCUAUGUGGGGAAACCUUAGAAACUGUAAACCAUCUAUUUCUACACUGCAAAUACACCCGGCAGCUUUGGAGGAUUUUCUUGAGCCUUAAAGGCAUAUCCUGGACUAUGCCUAGGAGAGUUACUGAGGCCUUGUACAGCUGGGAGGAGGCAGGUGCCCUUGCAAAAGACAGAACUAGAUGGAGAAUUAUCCCUGCUUCAAUAUGGUGGGCAAUCUGGAAAGAAAGGAAUUCCAGAUGUUUUGAAGGCAUAGAAAAUAGUGUGCAGGAUGUUAAACUAAACUGCAUUUUGUUGUUAUGUUUUUGGUGUAAUCAAUUAUACUCAAAUGACACUGUCUCUAUAGUUGAUGUUCUAGACUCAAUAUAGAAAUAGAGUAGGAGUGUCUAGAGUGCAUCUGUAUAUAAGGUUUGAGUACAACCCAUGUACUUUUGUGAUAUAAUACAUCGUUACCAUUUUCAAAAAAGUUAUUGUCCUCUGGACCUACCUUAAAUCCACUUAAACAUCAUUUCUCCAUUGCCUAGUCCAACAUUCUACCAAGACAUUGCAAUAACAGGAAUAGGAAGAAGAUCUGCCUGCCUCGGGAGUCGAGACAAGAAAAAUCAGCAUAACUCCUAUAUAUUAAUGUAGAAAACUUAACUGGGAAAUGCAAUAAUUUACCAACUCCUCUAUUUCUAUCAAAAUCCAUCUCUUUAAAGAGAAACUGACCACCUCACAUGGUCAUAUGCUUUCUCUACAUCUAAUUUACAAUGGAUACCUAUUUUUCAUUGUCUCCUUCUUCAGUCCAACUUCUCAUUAGCAACUAAGUUGCUCCUAUUAUCUGCCUCCGUUCACAAAAGCAUAUUGAAAAUCGAACUACUUCUGUAAAUAUUAACUUCAACCUUUCAACUACCUUUGUCAGGAUGUUAUCCAUAAAGAUACACCCAUAAAUUUUUUUUAGUUUUUUUCGUUUUUUUUUGGUGUUCUUUUAGAUGAAGAUGAAUUUUUUUCACUUUCUUUUUCUCAUUUUUUCCGGGGGGUUGGGGGGGGGGGGGGGGGGGGUGAGAGUAUUCUUCAGUGUUCUGCUUAUUAUUAUUUAACUAGCUCAACUACACCAUAAGAGCACACAUCUACUAUCACUUUUAGUCACACAUGGCAAGCUGUACCUUUUCAGGAACAGAUACACAUUGGGGAAGCCCUUGGUGGAACAGAAGUCAACAAGCAAAACUGUCUAUAAAUAUUAAUACAGAAAAGAAGUACAGAUAGAGCACCUGUGCUUCUCAAUAUGUGUCCGUGCAGCAUCAUCCAGUUUAACUGCAGCUGAUGAUUGAUCAGAAUCAAUGGUAUCUCGGGAUUUCUCCUCAUUGUUUGAAUGGACCCUGUUUCACUCAAAGAACAACAGUCAAGAGAGAUAAAUAUAAAAUGACACAUUGCAAUGGUUAUAAAUGAAAAAAGACCCAAGCAAGUACCCAAAUCUUCUUCUCAAUCCUUCAGAAGCAGAAUUCACACUUCCUUCUGCUUUAGGAGUUCCACUGCUGGAAAUCUCACCCUCAGGUUCCUUGGGUGUAUGCACAUCAGACUGGAUGUGGUUGAAGAUAAUUUUGUUGUUAAUCAUAUAAUAGAAGCAAGAAAUAUUUUCGAAAAACUACUAGCAUGUGGUUACUAGCAAAGGAAGCAGUGCUGACACAAGAGAAUAUAAAGAAGAGGAAGUUCCAACUAUGCUCAAGAUGCUAUCUGUGUGAGGAACAGGAAGAGACAGUCAACCAUCUCUUUUUGCAUUGCAAAUGGACAGAUCAAUUAUGGAGAAUAUUCAGCAGCCUUAGAAAGAUCACUUGGGUGAAACCAAGAAACAUAGCACAACUCCUAAAUUGUUGGAUCAAUAUUGGCAAUACUACAAUUAAGGAGGAGAGAUGGAGGAUUGUCCCAGCAUGUAUAUGGUGGACAGUAUGGAAAGAAAGGAAUCAAAGAUGUUUUGAGGCAAGAAGAACAAUGUGCAGAAUUUCAAGAUGAAUUGUAUAGCUCUUUAUUAUUUUUGGUGUAAACAGAAAGUCUUAGUACAGGCAGAAGAACUUUUUGAUGUUUUAGACUAUUUGUGACAAAAAGCAUAGAUGGAGUCAGUCUAGUUUGUAAUACUUUUGGGAGAGGGGCUACUUUGAUGUAGUAUACCUGUGGAUAAAUAGAAGAAAAAGUUACCAUUCUCAAAAAAAAAAAAUAAGUUGAUCUAAUAUAAGUUGAAGGUGACUCCAGAAGAGAAGAUUGAACCACGUUCAAAAACAUCGAAAGGACAGAAGUAUGACAACAAAAGUAACAGUAAGACCAGAGGAAUAAUGAAGUCUGAAAUGCUGAGCAUUAUGGACAAAAAGCAAACAAUGAGGUACUAAACUUUAAGGGCAUUCUACUGAUAAAAACAAAGCCAGCUCUUUCAUAUUCCAUAAAAUAUCAGUAAAUAUACUGCAAUAUGAUAUGUUUUCGUAUAAUAAAGCAAGGUGAAUCUGAAUGGUAAAUCACAGGAAAUGAAACUAGCACAUGCAUACCGUGGGCACAGCUAACUUGGCAGCAACAGCUUCAAUGUUCUCAGCAUAUUCAUUCACCUUGGCUUUUGAAAUCCUAUUUUGGGAGACAACAUGAAAAUGGAGCACACAUCAGGAAGAAAGCAUCUAGUGAAUUUUAAAAAAAUAGAGAUUCAAUAAGAACAUACACCCUCAAGCAAAAUGUUUCAAGCAUUACAUCAAUCUAAAUUAGUUUUUUUUAAUACAGGAAAAACUCACAUGACUGGUUUAUAAAAGUUUAAAACGUUCUCCUCAUACAGUAAAGAAAAAAAUUGGUGUUGUUAUAAGUAUAUUGCUGAAGUUCUAAUCUAAACACAUGAAGAUAAUAAUUCCUUUCAUGCCAUCCCUGUCCAUUGCACGGAGAACAAAAUAACUACUUCCACACAUCACCAAACGGUCUGCACAGAGAUUACUAAUACUAGCAUCAUGACUUCCUCCAUAGAAGGAGACAAGAUAGACCAGUCAUACUGUCAGGAUGCGAUCUUUUUCAUUAUAGGCAGGAUAUUAGUCCACUGUAUAAAAAUAUAACUAAAAUAUGUCCAAUGAGGAGAGAGGGUAGGCGGAGUUGAGAUCGAAGGAGGGUGAUUUUCCAUCGAAUCGACCAUGAUAAGAGGUUUCCAAUUUAUAACUUAUGUAAUAGGUAAAGUGAAAUGUCUAGGAAGCAUACGUUUAAAUUUAAAUGAUAAUUCCAACCAAACGAACAGAAGGCAGGGACUUUAUAAAGAACAGUCACAUUGGUACGGAAACCAACAGUCUGGAAAUUUUGUAGCAGCAUGCUAUUUUCUUCAAAUUAACUAAUUGAAAAAGAACAAAGCAUACAGACCUUGGUAAUCCAUCAGGAUUCCUCUCUUCAGCCAACUGCUCCAGCAGUUCCCUCAAAGUGGCAACAUACUGUGAAAGAUGUACCAAAAGGAAAAAGUAUAUGCAUAUGCCCAUUGAAAGAAAAAUAUUAGAUGAAAAAAACUGUACAGUUCCCUACAUAAGCAAUUGCAAUGCCAUGAUUUCUGAAAAACUUUUCAUAGAAACAACCUAUACCACAAUUUGAGGCUGUGAGCACAGAAAUUAUCAACUUUCACAAAUAACAACUACGUCAGAGAACAUACAGAACAGGCAAAGAUCAGCUUCCUGAAAUAAAUAGAGGCUCCACCAGAGACAUCAAAAACAGUUGAUGCAUGAUUGUUCAGUAGAUUAGGGAAGACAAGGAGGUAUUACUAUGACUCUUUAUCUCUCAUCCUACAUGACUAGAAAUAUUCAGUAGGCGGACGAGCCAUCCUGAGCCCUGUUCAUCCUAGAUAUGGUGAUAUUGCAGUACUACUAAUCUUAAUCACCAUGUCGAGAUCAGAAAAAUACUAUUGCUCCAAGAAAUAUAUUGACAGGUGAAUGUGUUGAAGGCAUGCAAGUGGGGUACAACACUGUACACAAAAUUUGUAUUGCAAAGCCAAAAGAUGUAUCCUUAAGAACGCAAACCUUUAAGGAUUAAAAUCAUCUAAUCAAGAAUAUAAUAUCUUAAUUAAUAUGUAUCCAAAAAAACAGCACAGUCGAAUUAAUGAGCUGAUAAAUUCACCGUGUUUGCGACAGGUUUCACAUAAUGCAAACCCAAGCAGGGAAGAAUGAAAAGAAAAAUAAGCAAACGCAACCAUCAUUUCUCUAUAAAGAGUUGAACUUGAAUGACCUGUGCAUACAUGUAUAAGCUUUGCUUGAUUUUGCUGUUGUGGUGCAGUUACAAGUAACCUCUUCAAGUUCACUUCGGUUUUGCUCAUCCCCAUGACACCCUCUAGGGUACUUUCUGUCAAUAGCUGAUCAAGAAAAUCAAGCCUUUCUGAACCCGUUUGUAAUCUAGCAGAACUGUACAAAAGUAUGCAAAUUUUCUACUCUUCACAUCAGAUUAUGUUUCUUCUUUAUUUUAGAAUAAUCAUCUAGCUCUAUCAUGCACUUCUAGCAUCUUCACACUAUAAAAUUACGAAAUAAUGAAGUGUACAUAGUCUUAGUUUAAACGUUCAUUUUUCCUACUUCAAUUGCUUAAUAAUCACAUAUCCAAAAUAUUUGUAAUUCAAAACAAACUAAUAAUUGAAGAAGAUUAAUGGAGUGAUCAACUUCUCUACAUAAUGAAUGCACCAUAAUCCAAUCAAACAAAAAGGCCAACUUGAACUCAUACUAAAACCAACUCACGAACUAGUCAAUGCAUAGGAUCCAAUCACACAGAGAAACAGAAACCUAAAGAAAAGGUUUAUUUUUAUAGAACCCAGUAGGAAUCUGGGUAUCCAGUUAAUUUGAUGCUUCAUAUCAACUUUCUCUUUUUCAUUAAGAGGGUUUUGGAUUUCCUAAAGGAUUUUGUCCUUGUUCACUGCCAAAUCCAAGUUUUUCAAGGAGAAAGAAAUAGAAAAUAGAAUGAGAACUUACAACUUUGUUUUUGAAUCUGUAUUAAACAACUUCAUUUCUGAAGCUUUGGUAUGUAAAAGGUUCCUCGUGAAGUUGAAACGCGUAAAUGGAUUUGACUACAAGCUAGGGAAACUAUGUAUGAACCCAAAGUCCUAUCGAAGAAUAACAACCAAUUUUUAAAGAUAUUGUCUCUUUCUUCUUCUCCUCUUAUCCUUCCCUUUUUUUUUGGGUAUAAAAAUUAGUUUGUAGUACAACUGACAAUAUGACUGACACAAAUAAACAAAAGAAAAAACAGUAUUUUUACAUACAACCAGUAAAGCGACGAUAUUUGGUAAGAAAAAACACUAAAUCUACAUUCAGUUCUUUUGCUUUAUGUUUAUCUGAAACUCUCAGGAUCUAGUGCACGUCUACUGCCAAAGACCAGAACAAUUCAGCAGAGACCAAAAAGCAUGGGCAGAGUUACCCAGUAUCACGUACUGGGAGAUAGCAGGUAGCCGAUGAAAGCGAAAGUUGACAGGUACCACCAUUAUAAUUAAGAAAAAACAGUAUGUUCAUCAGAGGCAAUAGCUUCUAUGAUCAGAUGAAAGGUUUCAUUUCUUGUUUUCAUCAUAGGCAACAACAAAACAGUUCUUGCAUAAUCUUUUUGGUUAUAAAAAAAAAAUGGUCUUUCAUCUAUUUACAUAAUAAUGCAUUGUAUGCUUGAUUCAGUUGAAAGUCAUUAGUAGAGUAAUUAACAUACAAUGACCUGCAUAAAAUAAGCUCUUUUCUCCAUGAUCUCUAAAAUUAGUAAGUUAUACUACCUUAAGAAAUAUGUAUUCACCUAAACAGGUAUAUCCACUAAAAGUUUAGUCCUUAAAUCACUGUACAAGGAUAUACGAACCUUGGAUUAUCAUUACAAAAAAAAAAUGAAUUGGGAUUAGGGCUUUUACUUUUUCUUCUCUGAGUUUGAUGUAAAGAUACUUACAGAGGAUCGCCGGUAGCUUGGAUCUAGCCGGGACUGGACUGCCGAGCGGCUGGGUAGGGUCUCGCUGGAGCUGGACUCGGGGUUUAUUGCAGGAAAGGCAAAAAGGAAAGAAUGGAGAGAGGGAAAGAAAAAUCGGAAAUGCUUACUUCAAAAUACUCUCUUUUUUAUUUUUCUUCUCAAACGUGAAAAUAAGAUUAAACAAAACAAUACUGAAGUAGAAACAUUUCCACAUAAUUUUGAGAAGGAAAAAAGAAACAUUUUUCAUAUUUCAUUUUACGUAAAAGGAUGAUAUUAUAAUAUGUAACUUCUUGAAGUUGUUGGAUCAUAAAUGAUUAAAUUUUAUUAUUUAUUAUUAUUAUUAUUAUUUUCCUUCGGUGUUCAAUACUCACAUCAGUGCUUGACUAACUUGAGUUUGCGUCGUGUAGGUGCUAGUUGAGGGAAGCGCUUUCUAUCAAUAAUUUUUUUCAUAUCCAGGAUUUGAACCUAGGAAAAAACAACUUCAUCCAUUGCACUACAUUCUUUGAAGGUGAUGGUUUAAAAAGUUGGACAAAGCUGAUUAUUUUUUAUUUAUUUUUUUAUUUUUUAUAAUAAUCGUACCAAACAUACAAAAUUUAUAUAUAAUUCAUGUAUAUAUUAAGAUUAUAAAUAAUUUUAAAUACUUUAAUUACUUUUUCACCAGAUUUUUUUUUUAUCUUUGAACUUUACACCUUAAGUCCAAUUCUUAAAAGAAAUUCAUGAAUCCAAACUUAUUUAUUUAAAGAAAUAACUAUGAGAUCUACCCUAAAAAAAUUUAUACAUUUUUAUAAAUUUUAUUCACUUGUUUAAAGCUUAUAUAUCCCAAGACAUUUUAUCCAUAAUCCAAAAAAAAAUUAUAGCUUUCAUAAUAAAAUGACAAUAAUAUACUAUAAGUUGAAAAAUUAUGAAAAAAAACUUUCCUAACAGUAGGAAAAAAUAAAAUGAGAGAUAGAAAGAUCAUUAAGUUUCUUAAAUAUUGAAAAACUGAACCAAAUGGAUUUACUUGACUAUCUUAGUAAGGAGUCGCCAAUUCCUUCUUACUAAGUUCUUAGUGAUUUUUUCUUUUGAUUUUCCAAUCGAAUUUCUGUAGGGUCCACUCGGAGUGAUGCUCCGAACACGAUUUUCUUCAUACUUAUUGAUGUUAUCAUGUACCACUGAUUGAAUUAGUUGAGUUCUGCUAGCAUGCAUAGGAAAGUUUCUUUGAAGUCUAUGAGGAGAUUUUGGCUAUCAUUUUCUGAAUCAGAGGUUGCCACUAGAUUAUUUUUUUUUUGGUUAGAUAACAACAAAUAUAACAAUACAAUACAAUAAAAUCUAAGUAAUACUAAUAACAAAAAACAUUGCACUAAGAAUAACAAUCCAAUACAUACCAACAAGAAUUGUGAUAGACUUGUAAGGACUGGAUACGAAAUUACAUUUGUUAGAGAGCGCUUUUAUCUUCCUGUGGGACUUUUGAGCACAAAUGCGGAUUUAGUCGGGUCACAAUGUAGGUACCAAACACCGGGUGGACAACCAAAAAGUAAAAACAUGACCCCCAAUGUAGGACUUUACGGCACGAGUCCAGAUUUAUGUGCUCCAGUGAAAUACCGGACACCGGGUGGAAAACCAAAAAAAUACAAUACAAUACGACAGGUAACAACCAUCCAAACAAGCUGUCUCAAGUAGUAUUACAUUUGAUUCCUGGUAUACAUGUUUAUACACUAAAGCACAAGGCAUUAUAGGGAAUACAUUUCCAUCCAACUUUACAGAAGUAUGUUCAGAUGGACAAGUAUUUCAUAUAUAUGGAGGUUCAUCCAGAAGUAUGUUUAUCAUCCAUACCCCUUUAAAAUCCAACUUCCAAAGGGACAUUAAUUCCCAGAACAGUAGAACACUGUCACAACAAGAAAUAAAUACGAAUUUUUUCGUUAAAAAAAAAUCUAAAAAUAUAUAAGAAUUACAAACCUACAUAUCUACAUGAAUGCAGAGCAGAGAAACUAACACUUUACUCAUAUUUGUACGAAGAAACCAAAAGUUUUAGUAGACUUCCACAUUCCAUUGCUCUGCCUUCUUCAACUGCUUUUUGUAAUCUGCCCAGUUAAUACCUUUCAAAAACAUAGGUAAGAAUGUUAGGGUUUGACUGAUAUAUAUAGUGGAUCAAGACAUGUAUAUCGGAUUUAAGUUAUAUACAUUGACGGCUUGACUGUAGUAGGUAGUACUUACUCUACCUUACAGUUUAACUCAACACAGUGCACAAAAGUCGAAUUCUUUUACACAUGUAUGUAUGGAAUAAUGAGAUAUUUGAAAUUAUGUUACCAUCUCUUUCAGCAAGUGAAGUCAUAAUGUCAUCGAUUCCCUGCUCCAUGCCUUUGAGUCCACACAUGUACACAAAUGUGUUGUCUUUCUUGAGUAAUGUCCAUAGUUCUUCAGCAUAUUCAGCCAUUCUGGUCUGGAUGUACAUCUUUUCGCCUUUCUCGUUAGUCUGCUCCCUACUCACAGCAAAGUCUAGUCUGAAGUUUUCCGGGGCCUUCUCCUUCAUUUUCUCGAAUUCCUGCAACAAGUUAUAAAUCUUAGUCCUGCAUUGUGACAUAGUACUAAAUUUUGUAUCCAAGAAGCAUUGAAGACUCAAAUUACCUCCUUGUAAAUAAGUGAGCUGCUUGUCGGUACGCCCAAGAAAAGCCAAGCUAAACCAUUGAACUGCAUAAAACCAAAACCGUGUCAUUCGAGGAGGUAAUGAAUAAAGUGAGAAGAAACUAUCAGUCAUAUAACUAUCGUGAAACUCGAAGCUGCAUAGUUCAAAGCUUUGGAUUAAUGGAGAUUGAAUUCUCUUAAAAGUGUCAAAACUAUUCAUCUUAGACACAUACAUCACAUAUGUUAGAUUCACCAUUACAUUCAUCUGAUCAAUUCCACUUCUGUCCUCAUUUUGACAUGAAAAGAUAAAAUACUAAUGAUUUCUGGUUUACCUUGUAAUCCUCAUGCUUCUCAAAGAACAUUUUCCACAAGAAUCCACGGAAAGGAGCAAUUCCAGUUCCAGUGGCAAGCUGCAAGAAGAAAAGAUCAAAGUCUAAUAAUUAACAACUAUGCUUAGUCAUAUUGAAGGAGAGCACACAGAAAUGACUAAUAGUGAUAACAUAGGAGCUAGCACGGACCAUUAUAACUGUCGCGUUGGGAUCCUUUGGCAUGAGCAUUUCUUUUCCAACAGGUCCAGUAAUCUUAACUUCAGCUCCAGGUUUCAAGUCACCUGAAUAUUAACAUUCCAAAGUAGGUGCAGGGAUCUAAGCAUAUAUUCUUAUAUUCAUUAAGAAAUGUUCAGGCCAAGUACAUGAGAAAAGAUGAAAUGCACGAGCUAAUAGCUAACAUUAAUGUUUGUAGGUUUAGGGAGUCCUUGAUUCUUACAUAAGAAGUUCGAGCAGACUCCUUUAACUAUUUCCCCUUUGUCAUUUGUGUAGACAAGCCUUUUGACACACAGAGAUACCUGAAUGAAACCUCUAGUUAAUUCAAAUACUAGAAGAAGGAUAAUAGCUAACUAACCAACCUAUGUUAGUGAAUUUCAAAUAGGGCACCCUUCACUAAGAAGAACGUCGAUUCUACAAGAUAAUGUAUGUAUACAAAUAGGUCAACACCACUCUUUACAGGACAAAUUAUAGCAAUAGGCCAACACAUCUUACAGAAAAUAAUGUUUACAUCACUGAAUCAUGUAGUGUUUUGGAUAAAAUUUGAAGGAAUAGGAAGUUUUAUAGCUUACGGUUUUGGAGUCUCCGAAGUCACCAAGGGCACUGCUAGCAAUGGAGUACAAUCUGAGCUUGUGGGGCUUCCCAUUACUGUCAACACCAUCAGGAAUCACUCCGAUAGAUUGGCCUUCUGUGUAUGGGAUCUCUCCUGAUCAACCCCAACACAAAAACCUCAAAUGAUCGUUUUACAAAGAGUUUAACUUCUAUACACUAGCUGUAUAAAAUAAUAUUUAUGCCACCAAGUUACAAUUACAUGAAGUGUCAAAAAUACUCAUACUGUCAUUAUAUAUAAGUUAAGUUCAUUUAACAAAUUCACUAAAAUCAAAUGAACUACUCCCUCCAUUUCAAUUGUUUGUCUUACUUUUCUUUUUAGUUCGUUUAAGAAUGUCUCUUUCCUUAUUUGACAACUCUUUAUUUUCAACUUUCAGAUACCACAAGAUUAAAAGACAGACAUUUUGGUACAUUCUACACAUGUUUAGUUUAAGACCAGAAGAUUCAAAAGUCUUCUACUUUCGUAAACUCUAUGCCAAGUCAAAGCCAGACAAACAAGUUCCAUACCCUCAGUAGAAAAGACCAUGUGCCAAGUUUCUCCAGGGGCAUCAUCUCCAGUGAUCUUAGUGUUGAGAAGGCAUCUGCCAAUAUAAGGAUCCUUUGGCCUGAACUUGUUUACAACUACACCUUCAUCCUGUUUCUUCGAUACCUUCGCAACCUUUGCAGGUACUUCUGUUGUGAGUUGAGCUCUAAUGGGAAACACUUUUCCACCAGCUGAUACAUUUCUGUUGCAUAAAGGAACCUGUUCAAACAAAUAUAACUUGUGUACACUCAGAGUGUAGCUUUUUUUAAUUAUUAUUUUACACUAUGAAGUAUAAGUCAUUAGAAAAGUAAAUAAAAUGUACUAAGUGAAUUGCUUAGUUAUCUUUUACAACAUCUUUAAGUGAAAAUUCUUUUAUACUGCCAGUGGAUAUAAGUUAAUUCUGUGAUGAUCUCCGAGAAAAAAGGAAAAUGAAUCGAAAUUUACCUUGUUGAAGGUAAUAUUUUCAGGGGAGAUGAAGAUGGUUUUGAUGGAAAGACAAGUUGAAUUAGAGGAUGGUAGAGAGAGUGAAGCACUUAAUGCCCCAGCCAUAUUGGUUAUGAUGCUGAGAAAUAGUAGAAGAAAUUGAGAGUGGUGAACAAAAGAAUUUUUUUUUGGGGUGGGGUGGGGGUGGGUUAGGGGGGGAGUGAGGUUGUUAAGAAGAAAAUUAGGAGAAAGGUAAAGAACUAGGAGCUUUCUGGAGAGAAGAUGAGUUGAUUUAGAGUUAAUGUGUGGAGGAGAUUGGAAGAUCAAGAUGUGAGGAUAAGGAAAAAUGCACAAUUUAGGCCUAAGGUCUUUUGACAAAAUUUAAAAUAGUGUAAUUUGAAGUGGAGCAACAACACAAAAGUUAUCUCCACGUGAUCUAUAAAUCACGUGUUUGAGUUAUUCAUGCAGUCAUGAUUGUAUAUCACACUCUUAAGGGUGCGGUCCUUCCCUGGAUCUUACUAAUACAAAAUGUUUUGUGCACCAGACUGUCUUUAGAAAAUAAAUUAGGCAAAAAAAUAAAUACAACUUGAUUUAUAAAUGUUCAGUACAAUUUACAAACUAGAGAUCCUUACAACAAUGUAUUACUUUUUUGUAAUAAAAUUUACAUAUUUAAAAAUUAUGUUUAAAAGUAAUAUGAGUGUAAUAGUUAAUAAUUCAAAACAUUUUUAAAACAGUAGUUGUCAAAGAAAAAUUUCUUUGAUGUCAUAGAUAGAGUCACAUAAUGAGAAUUUUAAUUUGAUAACUAUUAUAUGCACAUGAUUAGUGGCAUACUAAGCAAAUUAUUCCAGUAGGCCAAAAAAAUUUACAUUUUGCUAUUGGAGUAUUAUGAAGUUUGGUACAUCUACAAAUAUUGGUUUGGUUAUUACCUUUCUGAAAUACCGGUAAAAUAUUCCAAUAUGUUUGAGAAGUGUUUCAAGAGAAAUAAGGGAUUUUUACUCAUAAAUGUUCAACUUUAUUUCAAGUGAGAUUUAUGUUCAUAUACAAUUUUAAGUCUUGUUUGAGUAUAAGAUGUUGAUAAAAUGCUCCCUGGCACAUUUAGUAAGCUUCAAGUCUUUACCAAUACAAAAAGGGGUGACUCGGUGCAUUAAGCUCGUACUAUAUAUGUGUGGCGUCUGAGGAAGUGCCAGACCAUUGGGUCUAUUUCUGCAGACAUACAUGGUAUGUUUCCAUGGCUCGAACAUUGUCGAAAGACUACUUACUCUUUCUUGUCAAAAUUGGUGAAAGGACCAUUCUAAUAAAUAAAAAAAAGAGAGGAGAAAAUGCCUUGAGCAGAAUGAAAGAAAAAACUAGAAAGCCAAUGAAAAUGAUUAUUCAUAUACUGCAAGAGUAACAGAUACUGUGCCUUUUCCUACAUAGAAUAUCCCUGAAGUCUUUUUUACACAAGUUUUGAUGCAAUCAAUGGAAUCCCCUGGAUCCUCUGGACUGGUAGAGUUCCAGCCUGCUUUUGGAUUCAUGCAACAAUGUCUCCGUCUUUUCAUCUCGGUUCAAGUGUGCCUGCUUUGAUGCCCAUUUGAGCACUGAAAGCACCUCGGCUUCAGCAAGCUCUUCGCUAUUAGGGACAUGCAAUGCAAUGUCACAUAGCAGAAGCAAUGCAGAAAACUGAACUACUUUUUCACCAAAGCAAACAAGUUGAACCAAAUGUCCUGCACCUCCAGCGCUUAUUAUUGCCUUGCAAUGAUUCAGGUGAAGGUAGUUCUCAUUGCAAGAAAAUUUCUUGAGGGAAAUGGCUGCUUCAUUUGAAAUCUCUGGUUCUCGUUGAUCGAGCAGCGUUACUAAUGGGCUAAUCAUCCUCGUCUCUGUAGCUCGAAAAGUCGUGGCCAAAUUCCCAAUUGAUCGAAUGCAUGGAACAAGCAGGUUCAAAUCUUCUUUCUUAAUGAUUCUCAACAGUUGAUCAACAACAGCUUUGCAAGCAGGUGAAUUAGGCUUGAACACUGACUUUCUCAAAUCAGGAUCUUUCUCCGCUACAGCUGUGAUUUCCAUUACUGCCAUCGCCGAAUGAUACUGAACAUCUUUAUCCCCUUUCUCCAAGAGUACUGCAAAGCAAAGCAGUGCUCUUGAAUCAGUAAUGCUAUGGCAAAUAGUUGAAUUUCCCUUGGCCAGUUUCCAUAAAGCUCUUGCAGCCAUUGCCUUCAUAUAAGCCUUGGUAUUAGGGUCCUCCGAUUCUCGCCCUUUAUUACUGACCCCUGUAGCAUAAUGACUCUGCUGAUGAUAUGUCUGUUUUGCAUCAUUGACCGGAAUCUGCUGAGACGCUUGCAUAGCCGUGGUGGCAGUAACCACAGUGUGCAUCUGAGUAGGCUUCUUAUUUCCUAAAGGAUGUGGAAUGUGGCUAUUAUCAUCAUCCUCAUUCACCUUGUGCACACUACUCACAUUACUAGCUGAAAGAACAGCAUCAAUCGACGUGGAUUUGCUAACAAUAGCAUACUUGCUAUGCUCCUGAACCGUCUCAAACGCGAGAUGGCUAACAAGUAAUCUGAUUAUGUUAUUCUGAUGAAAAACAUCUUGACAUUCGGGGUAAUGUGCAGCAAGUUCAGAAACUGCCCAAGCCACCACUGCUUGAACUUUCAUUAGACCUUCUUUGAGGAUUUUCACAAAAACCAAACACACCCCAGCAUUCACCAUGUGUUCGACACUUUCAGGGUCACAUCCUAGUAAUCCAAUUGCCUUUGCAGCAUUCUCCUGACCCUCCAAUUUCCCUUCCUUCAACAAUUUCAACAAUGGUCCUACUCCACCUUCUUCAAUGAUCAAUUUUCUGUUCCGAUCAUUAUCUCUAGCCAAUGAAACCAAUGAUGCAGCAGCAUCAGAUCGAUCAUUAACCGAACCAGUACACAAAAUGGCUAUAUGCUCCCAAAUAAAACACAAUAUAGGCUCAUUAGUAACAAUAGGAGGAAGUCCUAAGUACCUAUCAGCACCCUCUUCAGCUGAGGCAGAGACGCGGAGUAGCCACGACACAUUACUAAUAGAAUUCUCUAACUGUGAAGACAAGUUACGGAAAUCUGCAGAAGGUAUGAUGGUAAAUACGCGCUUCACUAGUCCCUGAGUGCAGCAUUUGGUAACAAUAGACAUAGCUCUUUCCAAAGUUUGUUCAGUAUCAUCAAUAAUUCGGCUCAUGGGUCGUUGAUAGAGCUCGUUGCUGGCUCGUGCUGCUUGACGAAGCAGCACAAUCAGCUUCUCAGUCUUGGACUUGAGCUCAGCACAUUCUUGACUGAAUAAAACAGCCUCAUCAGCUGCCUGGAUCACCUGAUCAGCUAAUUGAAUUGGAUUUGCCAAGAUUUGCUUAACUAUAUCCGCCAUCAACACUAUACUAGAAUAUUUGUUUUAUUACAAAGGGGAUUCAACAAGCGAAAAAAAUAGGAACUUACUUUUGCCUUAUUUAGAGCAAAUUGAACUCUGUUGCAUUCAUUCAAUAUAUGAUCUGUUCAAGAUGAGGAACUUUUGCUCUUCUUUGGCAGAAUUGCUAGAUCAAAAAUUCAAAAAUGAAGUUUUUAUUUAGCCAACUCAAGAAUCUUGCCGACAAAAACCAAGAAAUGAUGAGAAAUCAAUGACUAAAAAACUUUUGAGAAAGUGAGUAAUUGAUGUAACUUUUGCUUUGUCGUACGUACUACUAUAGUAUAUAUCAAAUGAAAAGGGAAAUGAAG